UGAGAAGGACUCCAACCUCUCUACUCCUAUAUAAGGAGACCAUGACCAAGGAGGGACAAGUUCUGUAGAAGCCACCACUGAAGGAAUAGAAACCCUAGCGUUUUAAUUAGCACAUCUAGCGUAGUUCAUCCACCCUAGAGCAAUGUUGUCUAGAUACCCGCGUUAUCAAUGAGAGCAGGAGUGUGGCUAUUGCUCAUGCGAGGGGUCCGAACCUAUGUAAACCUUGUGCCAUGUGCUCGUUUUAUGAUCUAAGUCGACAUCCCACUACCGAACAAAUCGUGUGGGACUAUCGUAUUACUAAGGAUACAUGAAAAAUAUCGUUGACAUGUAGGUCCGUCCAUGUUGUGCAUGUCCUAGUUUCACUUCCAUGAUGAAGUACUUGAAGAAGUUGACCUAUGAGGAAGAAUAUAAAGAGUGAACGAGACAUGUGAAAGAAAAUGCGAGAAGAAACAACAUGAGAGCUUUGAUGUUUUAUGAUUGAUGAUGUUCUUUGUUCACUUAUGCUUGAAGAAGAAAUGACAUCAGAGCUUGUAUGUUUUAAGUUCGUUGGUGUUCUGAGUUUGAUAACGUCUGGUGGUGCUCUCAUUUUUUGUAUGUUUAACGAUGUUAAUUUUAUGAUCCUCAAGUUUUACAAGAUGACGACAUUUUGAACUUCUGCAAGCAUGAACAUGCACAUUAACAAUUGCAUGCAAGUAAUUGUAUAACAUGAAAAUUUGCACGAAAUUGCAUGGUGACGACAUGUUGAUCCUUUCGCAUGGUUGUAACAUGAAAUUUUGCAUGCAUGAUUCGUUUUCAUUGCAUGAUGAACAAUGUUAGGCAUAAAAUUUUAAUAGUGCCAAAUUUUAGUAAUAAAUCAAAAUAAAGUUUACUAGGGUUAAAUGUUGAUUGAUCUGUUCUCUACCCAUGAUGCAGUGGAGAAGAAGGAGAACUCUAGGUCUGCCACAAUGCUCUCAUGUGAGUGGCGGCCUUUUCUUAGUGACGGUGAGUUUGAGGCUUUAACGUCUGUCCAUGCUAGCUGAAAUUGGUUUCUUGUUGAAUAUAGCUCAUCGCUCUGGUUUAGGAUGUGUUGGCAACUGAUGUAAUCAGCAUGCCUUUUUUGUGUUAUGUGGAAAUUUUAGAGGGAAAUGCAGCCUUUGGAUAGGUCUGCGUCUUUAGAUUUGUAACAAAAAUGUUUAUAACCAGAUGAUUCUCCGCGCGUUGCAAGGGGAACCUUUGCUUACAAACUUAUGUGAGAAAAUCUAUAUUUGUCUUACCAUGGAAAAAUUGACCGAAUUAGCAUCUAAUUUAUUUCAAGGAAGUUCUUAUCAAGAGCUAAAUUUUAAGUGUCUGCUAAAAAGUAGAAACCAAGUAAACAUGGUAGGGAUAGAUGUCGUAUUCAUCAAGACGAUAUGCAAUGUUAGGUGCCAGAUAAAAAUCGCUAAUUUUUAAAUAUUACACUUUUUUAGUAAAUUUGAGAAAUAUUACAUCGUUUAGGUUUAUUUUCUGAUCUUCACAGAUGAUUUGAGCAGAUAUGAGUAUAUCUACUUGAUGAAACACAAAUCUGAAACAUUUGAAAAGUUCGAAGAAUUUCAGAGUGAAGUGGAGAAUCAUCGUAACAAAAAUAAAAGUUUCUACGAUAUGAUCGCAGAAGGAAAAUAUUUGAGUUACAAGUUUGGCCUUCAGUUAAAACAUUGUGAAAUAGUUUCUCUACUCACGCCACCUGGAACACCACAGUGUAAUGGUGUGUCUGAACGUCGUAACCGUACUUUAUUAAAUAUGGUGCGAUCUAUGACGUCUCUUACUGAUUUACCGCUAUCGUUUUGGGGUUAUGCAUUAGAGACAGCUACAUUCGCGUUAAAUAGGGCACCAUCUAAAUCCGUUGAGACGACAUCGUAUGAACUAUGGUUUGGCAAGAAACCUAAGCUGUCGUUUCUUAAAGUUUGAGGUUGUAUUGCUUAUGUGAAAAAGUUUCAACCUGAUAAGCUCAAACCCAAAUCAGAGAAGUGCGUCUUCAUAGGAUACCCAAAAGAAAAUGUUGGGUACACCUUCUAUCACAGAUCCGAAGGCAAGAUAUUCAUUGCUGAGAAUGGAUCCUUUCUAGAGAAGGAGUUUCUCUUAAAAGAAGUGAGUGGGAGGAAAGUGGAACCUGAUGAGGUAACUGUACCUACUCCCUUAUUGGAAAGUAGUUCAUCACAGAAAUCUGUUCCUGUGACUACUACACCGAUUAGUGAGGAAGCUAAUGAUGAUGAUCAUGUAACUUCAGAUCAAGUUACUACCAAACCUCGUAGGUAAACCAGAGUGAGAUCCGCACCAGAGUGGUACGGUAAUCCUGUUCUAGAGGUCACGUUACUUGACCAUGACGAGGCUACAAACUAUGCGGAAGCGAUGAUGAGCCCAGAUUCCGCGAAAUGGCUUGAGGUCAUGAAAUCUGAGAUGAGGUCCACGUAUGAGAACAAAGUAUGGACUUUGAUUGACUUGCCCAAUGAUCGGCGAGCCAUUGAUAUUAAAUGGAUCUUCAAGAGGAAGACGGACGCUGAUAGUAGUGUUACUAUCUACAAAGCUAGAAUUGUCGCAAAAAGGUUUUCGACAAGUUCAAGGUGUUGACUACAAUGAGCAUCAAGAUCUAUAGAGAUAGACCAAGACACUUGAUAAGUUUUUCAAUGAGUACAUACCUUGACAAGAUUUUGAAGUAGUUCAAAAUGGAACGGUCAAAGAAAGAGUUCUUACCUGUGUUACAAGGUGUGAAGUUGAGUAAGACUCAAAACCCGACCACGGCAGAAGAUAGAGAGAAAAUGAAAGUCAUUCCCUAUGCCUCAGCCAUAGGUUCUAUAAAGUAUGCCAUGCUGUGUACCAGACCUAUUGUGUACCUUGCCCUGAGUUUGGCAAGGGAGUACAGUAGUGAUCUAGGAGUAGAUCACUAGACAACGGUCAAAAUUAUACUUAGUGGAAUAAGGAUAUGUUUCUCGAUUAUGGAGGUGACAAAAAGGUUCGUCGUAAAGGGUUACGUCGAUGCAAAUUUUGACAUUGAUCCAGAUGACUCUAAAUCUCAAUCUGGAUACAUAUUGAAAGUGGGAGCAAUUAGCUAGAGUAGCUCCGUGCAGAGCAUUGUUGACAUAGAAAUUUGCAAAAUACGUACGGAUCUGAAUAUGGCAGACCCGUUGACUAAACUUCUCUCACAAGCAAAACAUGAUCACACCUUAGUACUCUUUGGGUGUUAAUCACAUAGCGAUGUGAACUAGAUUAUUGACUCUAGUAAACCCUUUGGGUGUUGGUCACAUGUCGAUGUGAACUACGGGUGUUAAUCACAUGGUGAUGUGAAUUAUUGGUAUUAAAUCACAUGGUGAUGUGAACAAGAUUAUUGACUCUAGUGCAAGUGGGAGACUGAAGGAAAUAUGCCCUAGAGCCAAUGAUAAAGUUAUUAUUUAUUUCCUUAUAUCAUGAUAAAUGUUUAUUAUUCAUGCUAGAAUUAUAUUAACCGGAAACAUAAUACAUGUGUGAAUACAUAGACAAAUAGAGUGUCACUAGUAUGCCUCUACUUGACUAGCUCGUUGAUCAAAGAUGGUUAUGUUUCCUAACCAUAGACAUGAGUUGUCAUUUGAUUAACGAGAUCACAUCAUUAGGAGAAUGAUGUGAUUGACUUGACCCAUUCCGUUAGCAUAGCACUUGAUCGUUUAGUUUGUUGAUAUUGCUUUCUUCAUAACUUAUACAUGUUCCUAUGACUAUGAGAUUAUGCAACUCCCGUUUACCGGAGGAACACUUUGUGUGCUACCAAACGUCACAACAUAACUGGGUGAUUAUAAAGGUGCUCUACAGGUGUCUCCGAAGGUACUUGUUGGGUUGGCGUAUUUCGAGAUUAGGAUUUGUCACUCCGACUGUCGGAGAGGUAUCUCUGGGCCCUCUCAAUAAUGCACAUCACUUAAGCCUUGCAAGCAUUGCAACUAAUGAGUUAGUUGCGGGAUGAUGUAUUACGGAACGAGUAAAGAGACUUGCCGGCAACGAGAUUGAACUAGGUAUUGAGAUACCAACGAUCAAAUCUCGGGCAAGUAACAUACCAAUGACAAAGGGAACAACGUAUGUUGUUAUGCGGUCUGACCGAUAAAGAUCUUCGUAGAAUAUGUGGGAGACAAUAUGAGUAUCCAGGUUCCGCUAUUGGUUAUUGACCGGAGACGUGUCUCGGUCAUGUCUACAUUGUUCUCGAACCCGUAGGGUCCGCACGCUUAAGGUUUCGAUGACAGUUAUAUUAUGAGUUUAUGAGUUUUGAUGUACCGAAGGAGUUCGGAGUCCCAGAUGAGAUCGGGGACAUGACGAGGAGUCUCGAAAUGGUCGAGACGUAAAGAUCGAUAUAUUGGACGACUAUAUUCGGACAUCGGAAAGGUUCCGAAUGAUUCGGGUAUUUUUCGGAGUACCGGAGAGUUACGGGAAUUCGCCGGGGAGUAUAUGGGCCUUAUUGGGCCAUACGGGAAUAGAGGAGAGAGACCAAAAGGAAGGAGGCGCGCGCCUCCCUCUGGUCCGAAUUGGACAAGGGGUGCAGCCCACUUUUCUUUGUUCCUCUCCCCCUCUUUCCUUCUCUCCUACUCCAACAAGGAAAGGAGGAGUCCUACCCUGCGCCGUCCUCCUAGGCCGGCCAUCUCUCCCCUUGCUCCUUUAUAUACAGGGGCAGGGGGGCACCUCUAUACACACAAGUUGAUCAGCUGAUCUCUCCCAGCCGUGUGCGGUGCCCCCUCCACCAUAUUCCACCUCGAUCAUAUCGUAGUGGUGCUUAGGCGAAUCCCUGCGUCGGUAGCAACAUCAUCACCGUCACCACGCCGUCGUGCUGACGGAACUCUCCCGUGGAGCUCUGCUGGAUCGGAAUUCGCGGGACGUCAUCGAGCUGAACGUGUGCUAGAACUCGGAGGUGCCGUAGUUUCGGUGCUUGAUCGGUCGGGCCGUGAAGAUGUACGACUACAUCAACCGCGUUGUGCUAAUGCUUCCGCUUUCGGUCUACGAGGGUACAUGGACAACACUCUCCCCUCUCGUUGCUAUGCAUCACCAUGAUCUUGCGUGUGCGUAAGAAUUUUUUUGAAAUUACUACGUUCCCCAACAAACACAUCACAUAAAAUUUAGCAUGAACACGAGAUAUUUUCUUUUUCACAUAUCAAUGUUAUCUUGCCACACUUAUUAUCUAUUGGAGAGCUACUAUUGCUGAACCAAUGAACCCCAGUCCAAUUCACACUUUAAAGAACUUUUAUAUGUACUUUUAUUUCUAGUUAUUAUUUACUGGCCAUCCAUCCAUGCACCUACAUGAGCUAGCCAUUUAAAUUACGUACAUAAUAAUUAAAAUGUCAAAAAAUAUAUUCAAUGCAUCAAUGAUAGAAGAGCCAUUUAGCACAAAAAAACUAUCAUAUGUUGGAACGGCAGCCGGCAUAGGAAGACAGGGAAGACAGGGAAAGUUGCCCCGUCUUCGGUAACGGUGAUUGCAUGAGCCCUUGAUCUUGAAUUAUAUAUUGAUUCUUGAGUGUGAGUUGUUCCAACUUUGUUCCCUAGGAGCAACUCCAAUACGCGGACCCAUUUCGUCCGCGCGCGUCCGCUUGGGUCGACGCAGACAAAAAAGCUGGUACAACGCGCCGAUCCAAACGGACGCGCGUCCGCUUUUCGUCCACCUAUCGACCCAUUCCCGCUCUAUUUUUUAGCCUCAUUUGCGUCGGCGCGGACACGAGACAGACGCGGGCUUCGCCUGCCUAAUUUUCCCUGGCCCGCCAGUCGGUGGCACAUUGGCCAUCCUCUCCCACGGCAAACCCUCGCCCGCCUCCUUUGUCGCCGACGUCGCCGCCCAUUUUUCCGGUACCUCUGCCGCAACAUCCACCCGCGACGCCGCCACCUCCCACGUCGCCGCCACCGCUGUCUUGCCACCGAUCCGACAGCUUCCACCCCCACUCCACCGACACAACCGCAACCAAGAAGCCGCCUCGCCGCACCGGUCAGCUCCUUCGUCCUGACACCGGCACGCCUGGCGGACGCCGCCAAGGCAGGUUGUUGGUCCGAGGACGGCGCGACUCCCUUCGCCAGCCGGCUCCAUCAUCGACGCUCGCAAGUUGUUCGACAGUUUGCCAAGGUACAAAAUGGACUCCGUCGACGAAUUCCUUUUCCAUAAUUUCCUUUGCAACUCCGACAAUUCCUCGUCCGAUGAUGAGGAGGAGAUAUUGGCUACCGUGUUGGUCUAUCACCACCUCAAUAGCCAGCGGCCGUUGUUCCGUGGCUCCAUUCUCGUGCACCUUCUGGCAUUGAAUCACAACCGAGAGAGCGGGCAUUUCCUUCUUUGAAAGGACUAAUUUGACACAACGAACCUGCUGUUCAAACAUCAAAAAUUCUGCCGCCUUUUCCGUAUGAGUAGACAUCUUUUCAACCGUAUUAGAGAGGGGGUGGUCAGCUACGAUGACUAUUUCGAGUGCAAAGAGGAUGCCCUUGUAAUGAUUGGCUUCUCCUCUUACCAAAAAUGCACUGCAGCCAUCCGAAUGCUUGCAUACGGAGUGCCCGGUGAUCUUGUUGACGAGUACGUCUGUAUGAGCGAGUCUGCAUCCCUAGACUCAUUGUACAAGUUCUUCAGAGUUGUUAUUGCUGUGUUUGGCCCUGAGUACUUGAGAGAGUCGACUCCUGAAGAUACAACCCCUUGUUGGCGAUGAAUGCCAGUAGGAGCUUCCCGGGGAUGCUUGGCAGGAUAGACAUCAUGCACUGUGAGUGGAAGAACUUCCCUUAUGCUUAGCAAGGAUAGUAUAAGGGCCAUGUCAGGGCUUGCACUAUCAUACUUGAGGCCGUGGCAUCUCAAGAUCUCUGGAUCUGGCACUCUUUCUUUGGCAUGGUCGGAUCACACAAUGAUAUCAACGUGCUUCAGCGCUCGCCGAUGUUUGCUAGGCUUGCUGAAGGCAACAACCCACCGGUUAAUUUUACCAUCAACGGCCACAACUACGACAAAGGAUACUACUCGGGUGACGGUAUAUAUCCUCAAUGGACCACUAUUGUGAAGACAAUCCCCAACCCUGUCGCAUAGAAGAGGAAAAAAUUUGGCCAAGAGGAAGAGAGUGCAAGGAAGGACAUCGAGCGUGCCUUUGGUGCUUUACAAUCUCGAUAGGGCAUCGUUCGUAUCCUGCUAAGACUUGGAGCACGAAGAAACUAUGGGAGGUGAUGACUGCUUGUGUGAUCAUGCACAAUAUGAUCAUAGAAGAUGAGCGCCCAGAAUGUCUCUACGAUCAAGGGUUUCAGUUUCAGGGUGAGAAUGUUGUGCCUGAGCAUGGAGACGCGGCAACGUUUGAACAGUUCACCCAAUUUCAUCAUGACAUGGGUGAUUGAGAAACUCACAUGCAAUUGCAAAAUGAUUUGGUUGAGCAUAUGUGGGCUCAUGUUGGCAACCAAUAGAUGUAUCUUUUUUAUUCGGCUUGCAAAACUAUGUAAGACUAUUUUACUUUUAUUCGGCUUGUAAACCAAUGCUAUUUAUUUGGUUGAAACUAUGCUAUUUACUAUAUGUUUGCUUGUGAAAUAAUGCAAAUUUAUUGAAAAGGGCGGCCAUCCGGCCACGUCGUAUAUGGGUCGGCGCGUUGGGCGCACUGCCGACCCAAAUCUCAAACUGGGUGGACGCCGAGCGGGCGGCCGACCCAAACGGAAAAAAGUGGACAAAAGCGUCGUCUGUUUGGGUCGGCGCGUUGGAGUUGCUCUAAUGCCCAUACUGUCUUUCUAAAAUAUUGUACUGUAGCUAAUUUUAUUUUAUUUUAUCCAUUAGGCGUGUAGUAUUGCAAGAUCCGAGACAUGUCUUGGUUAAGAAAACAAGUGUUUGAUUGAUGAAACAAAAACUUGAGGUUUUGACUCAGUCUCAGUCUCAUAUACAAGUUUUCAGGUUGCCCUUAAAAAGGAUGGAGAAUCUGGCAUUGAUGCCAACGAACUGUAUGUGGAAUUGAUGUUUCUUCAAACUUCCGUUCCAAACGAAAAUAUUGGGCCCGUUGAAUUUGUAAAGUUCUUAAAGCAGCAUGAUUAUUUCCGAUGCAAGUAUUGCAUACAGAGUUCCGUUGACCAUCCCUAUAACUGUUGCAUCAACAGAACAAAGCUUUUCAAAAUCGAAGCUAUUGAGGUCUUAUAUGUGCACUACCAUGACACAACAAAGACUUACUGAUUUGGCCAAAAUAACACUUGAGAGUGAAGUACCGGAGAAGAUUGAUUAUGAGGAUAUUAUUGAAAAAUUUAUAAAGAACCAUAAAAGAAUGAUGUUAUUUAAGUGAAGACUAUACAACCAAGAAUGGGUAUGAUUCUAGAUAUUUCACAUUGCCAUGUAAGAUAUGAUUAUCUUUAUAUUAUUAUAUAUUAUAUGUAUGUGGUUUAUCUAGUGAGGUAGGGCCCAUUUUAGGAUUUGACGCAGGGCCUCGGAUUUUAUCGGCCCAGCCCUAUAUGUGAGGCUAUGACCAACACCUGAUCUCAUGUGCACUAUGGCCGGAGAUGCCUUCUCACCAUCCUCACGCGUGGCACGUCAAUAGGAGACCACACCACACUUAGCGACAACGAUCUUAUUCUAGAGAAGGUUUGUCUUGAUUUCUCUUUUCUUUUCAAGGUUGAAUUUUAUUUUUCUUACCAUCCUCACUGACAUCAAUUUCUUUAACAGGUCGCCGAUCAAAUCGACUUUGUGCGGAUUCUCUUGGCAAUGGCUUCUAAGAAUAAGAGGUAGUCAUAGUAAUGUCUCCGACUGAAUGUCAUGGAAAAUCCAUACUUCUGUAUCCCUUUGUUGUGUAUACCGUAGUUAGGGCAGUAUAUUCAUGUGUAAACAUGGGCCUGGGGACCAUACUUGGGUGAUCGCAUUAGCAAGACAUGUCACCUCACAUAUCCAAAGAUGAACAUGUAGUGAACAUGGAAAGACUACCGACUUUGAGAAGAUCAUGAGAGACGCAUCUGAGAAGGACUCCAACCUCUCUACUCCUAUAUAAGGAGACCAUGGCCAAGGAGGGACAAGUUCUGUAGAAGCCACCACUGAAGGAAUAGAAACCCUAGCGUUUUAAUUAGCACAUCUAGCGUAGUUCAUCCACCCUAUAGCAAUGUUGUCUAGAUACCCGCGUUAUCAAUGAGAGCAGGAGAUUGGCUAUUGCUCAUGCGAGGGGUCCGAACCUAUGUAAACCUUGUGCCACGUGUUCAUUUUAUGAUCUAAGUGGACAUCCCACUACCGAACAAAUCGUGCGGGACUAUCGUAUUACUGAGGAUACACGAAAAAAAUCGUUGACAUGUAGAUCCGUCCAUGUUGUUCAUGCCCUAGUUUCUCUUCCAUGAUGAAGUACUUGAAGAAGUUAACCUAUGAGGAAGAAUAUAAAGAGUGAACGAGACAUGUGAAAGAAAAUGCGAGAAGAAACAACAUGAGAGCUUUGAUGUUUUAUGAUUGAUGAUGUUCUUUUUUCACUUAUGCUUGAAGAAGAAAUGACAUCAGAGCUUGUAUGUUUUAAGUUCGAUGGUGUUCUGAGUUUGAUAACGUCUGGUGGUGCUCUCAUUUUUUGUAUGUCUAACGACGUUAUUUUUAUGAUCCUCAAAUUUUACAAGAUGACGACAUUUUGAACUUUUGCAAGCAUGAACAUGCACAUUAACAAUUGCAUGCAAGUAACUGCAUAACAUGAAAAUUUGCACGAAAUUGCAUGGUGACGGCAUGUUGAUCCUUUCGCAUGGUUGUAACAUGAAAUUUUGCAUGCAUGAUUCGUUUUCAUUGCAUGAUGAACAAUGUUAGUCAUAAAAUUUGAAGUGCCAGAUUUUAGUAAUAAAUCAAAAUAAAGUUUACUUUAACCAAAAUAUAGUUGCAUUAGACAUUAGAAGAUAUAAGGCAGGCCCGCGACGGCUUCUCCACUGGCGCCAGCGGUCCAGCCGCGCCCUGCUCGACCUCCACGUGCCAGGCCCAUGCCGGCGGCGCCGCGUCCAAAAGCGACCCCUUCUCUCCGCCGCCGCCGCCGGCGGCAGACCCACCAUGCCCACGAUUCAGGUUGCCAGCUUGCUCUCGCGGCCUCCCAGCUUCCUCACGACAGUCUACGUCUACAGGAUCUAGGUUUAGAUCAAAGAACGCCAUGGACUUUCAGGACGAGGAAGAAGAGGAAUAUAAAGCAUCUGCCCUCCGUCUUCUUAUAAGGAGGAUUUGGAGUUCAAAUCUUCGUGCCAUAUUUUCCCCCUAUGCAGCGCAGGGAUUGGAUCGACAUGUGGCGCCGUAAAGCGACGCGAGGGAGGGAGCGAGGCCACCGGUUGGGUCGCUAGUGAGGCGGAAGAGAAGACGAUGGGGUUGCCUGCAAUAACUGUGUUUUGUUGGCAGGAGCAUGGCCGAGGCCGAUCGAAGCCCGUCGGGCGGUUGCAUUGCAAAAAAGAGACAGAAAUCUCGUGUUUGGUACAUGUUUCCGGUGGACGGUGGUGCAUGCUGCUGAUCGGUGGAGUACCAAAGCUUUUUCUUGUCCGGGAGUAGUACUUCCUCCGUCCGUGAAUAAGUGUAUAUCUACCUUUUGUUCUAAGUCAAUAUUUUAAAACUUUAACCAACUUUAGAGAAAAAAGUAUUAUCAUUUUAUGGCACUAAAUUAGUAUCGCUAUAUUCGUUUUGAAAUGUAUUUUCAUAAUAUACAAAUUUGAUGUCAUAUAUACUACUACUCUUUUCUAAAACUUGGUCAAAAUUAUAAGACUGUGACUUAAGACAAAUGAUAAAAGUACACUUAUUCACGGACGAAAGGAGUAGGCAUUAAUUUUCUACCUCCCUUGCCCUUGAUCGACCAACCACACAACUCAGCAUGUAAUUGCAAUUAAUGCGUUAAAUGAGGGACGUUAGGAUUGGCCGUGCAUGCGCCCAUCUUUCCACAGGAAAUAGGGACCGGCCUGGAUCAAUGCGAAAUAAAUCGGGAAACCAAACGUCAGAGCGACGCAUCGGACCCGGACGUCACCUUGGAAAAAUGGGAAGCUAGGACGCCUCCUCGUUGGAGGCGCUGCUGGAAUUUCAUCCUACCCGAGUGUUUGCCUCUUCGCCGAGUGCUAAAUCACGGGGACUACUCAAGAAACAAAUAUAAGCAGAGAGCAUCGCACGGCAACGAGAUGUUGUUGCCGAGAACAAGACACAGCGAAGAAGGCACACUCAGCAUUCGGCAAUGACGCCGAGAGCACCACACAGCAAAGAGAUGCCAUGUGGCAUGUCCAUUUGCAUCUAACGGCUAUGUGACUUAUAGUUGUCUUUACCAAGAUCUAAACAGGGGCGCUUGGCACACGAGUGAAACAUUUUCACCUCAUAAGUGGACCCAUUAGACCCACUUGUCACCGAAACAUUUCAAAUUUCUUUUGCAAGAACAUCUGAAACAUUUUGACCUGACAGGUAGGAACUAUGCAUGCUCUUCGAAAAAAAUGACACUACUGAAGUGCAUCCUUUUGCCGAGAGGCACCUGCACUCAGAAAAGAUUGGCACUACUAGAGUGCUACUUUUACCGAGAGGUGCCAAGGCCAAGCUGAGUCGCCUCCCGGCCAGCAUCCGCUCCACCCCGUUCGUCACAUCAGAAUAGUGGUGAGCCCACGAAUCUGGCGUCCCCGGAGUGGAAGAAAUGAGGAGGAGGCCCCGUCGGAUGGGUGAGAAGAUGGCGGCCAGGGAGAGGAGUGGCGGCGGCACCCUCUGCCUACCACCGAGCUCGGGGAGAAAGAUGGAGGCCGCGGUGGCAGGGAGUAUGCGAGCGAAGGUGGUGACUGGACACCCGGAGCUAGACGAGGUGGUCUAUGCCAAUGAAGAGGGCGUCCAUCUGGUUUGUUUUCCUGUAGAUUUCCUCUCUUGCUUGAUUUGAUUUUGUGGUCAAAACGAUGGCAGAUUUCCUCAUCGACUGGUCUGACUUGGGGCUGAUUUUUCUCUUGCGAUUCCUGUUCAUGGCCCUGCUGUGGUUGCACCGUGGUCCGUGGGGGAAUAGAAACGAAUAUCUCUUCUACAACUGGCGUCAGGAUAGACCAACCGGGGAGAGAUAGGAUCAUUGAGUCUUUUUACCCUCAUUCUGCCUCCCAGGUUACUAGGGUUAAAUGUUGAUUGAUCUGUUCUCUACCCAUGAUGCAGUGGAGAAGAAGGAGAACUCUAGGUCUGCCACAAUGCUCUCAUGUGAGUGGCGACCUUUUCUUAGUGACGGCGAGUUUCAGGCUUUAACGUCUGUCCAUGCUAGCUGAAAUUGGUUUCUUGUUGAAUAUUGCUCAUCGCUCUGGUUUAGGAUGUGUUGGUAAAUGAUGUAAGCAGCAUGCCUUUUUUGUGUUAUGUGGAAAUUUUAGAGGGAAAUGUAGCCUUUGGAUAGGUCCGCGUCUUUAGAUUUGUAACAAAAAUGUUUAUAACCAGAUGAUUCCCCGCGUGUUGCAGGGGGAACCUUUGCUUAACUUAUGUGAGAAAAUCUAUAUUUGUCUUACCAUGGAAAAAUUGACCGAAUUAGCAUCUAAUUUAUUUCAAGGAAGUUCUUAUCGAGAGCUAAAUUUUAAGUGCCUGCCAAAAAGUAGAAACCAAGUAAACACGGUAGGGAUAGAUGUCGUAUUCAUCAAGACAAUAUGCAAUGUUAUGUGCCAGAUAAAAAUCGCUAAUUUUUUAAAUAUUACACUUUUUUAGUAAAUUUAAGAAAUAUUACAUCGUUUAGGUUUAUUUCAAAAAUAAUACGGCGUUGGCCUUCUAUCGGCCACCGGUAAGCCGAGUAGUCCCAGCCGGCCACCCGAGUCACGGCAUGCAGUCGGCCUCCGCGAAGCCGAUAAAUGCAUGAGCUGAUUUGCUAGCUAGCUUUCUGUGCUUUUGUGCUAGUUUUCUGUGCGUGUGUGCUAGCAAUACGUUUUGCCGUAUAUGCUCCACCGGCCGGAAAAUACUCGGCUGUAGCUUGUACGUGAAAAAAAGCUUAUACGUGCGUAGUCGUCGGAAAGUACUCGACGGCUGCGGCGUCAAGGUCGGGAAUGUGCCAAUUGUUGGCGCAGGUCCCUCCGAUGUUGAGUACUUUUCGACGACGACGACAGACGAUGACGACGACUGCAACGAACAAAGCGACGCUGACUCGUUAUCGACCACCCGCAAGUGUAAAAGCUAGCCGUCGAGCUUGCAAUCGAUCUUUCCCUGAACGUGAAGUAAUACUUACUAGUACUUCUGUCCGGAACAAUCUUCACAAGACCCGUACGUAAACAACCUCUGGUCGAUCGUUGCUUUCCGGCCGGUGGAGCGUACGUAAACAAUCUUCGCGAGACACGUGCACGUAUACCACGAGCACCCUAGCAGGUUGGUGGAUCGAUUGGGCAGAGGCUAGCUAGCUGGCCUUUCAAACGGGAUUAGCACAACUCAGGCUAUGUACGUUGCAUGGGCCAUGCACCUAUCGGCUUCCCGUAAGCCGAUUAGUCCCAAUUGGCUUUCCUAGGUUAAUUAGUCUGGAACCUAAUCGGCUACCUCAUGGCCGACUGGCUCCAGUUGCUUACGGGAAGCCGGAAGCCGACGCCGUAUUAUUUAUGUAAUUUCUUAAAAUCAUGUAUUAUUUUUAAAAUUUUAUUAUAAAAUGUAUUAUUUAAAAAAAUUAGCAUAAAAAUCGACGGAUAGCAAAAAAAAUGUACAUUAUUUCGAUGUGAAGAGGCUUUGUCAUUCAUCUUCAAUUUUUUGCUUGGAUAAUAGAAUGGACGACACGCAUUCAUCCUCGACAGAAUAUGAUUUUAGUUAACCAAUUUAUACUUCGAGAGUUCACAUCAUAGAAAUGAAGAACAAUAUUAAUGAGAGUUGUGCAAUGCAUGCAGAUAGAUUUAAUAUCAAAUCUGGAUUUCAACUGUUCCACCGUUGCUUGUUUUCUUAGUCAGAAUCCACUAUUGCUUCUCAUGCGUAGGUCUCAGUUAAUGUCGAAAAUCCUUAUCACAUGGUGAUCAUCAUAAGUCCCUGAACACUAGACCGCUGCUACCAACGCAUAAGGCUGGUCGUAGUGGUAGUAUCAUAUAUACCAACUAGGCAAUUUUGAUGAGAUGACGUAAAAUUAAAUGAAGAAAGAGAGGGAUGAGUAUCAUAUUAUGAUACCGUAUCAUAAUAAAUACCAUGAUACUAUGUGUCAUGCAUGACAAUAAAUGAGACUAUCUAUGAUACUACUCUAUGAUACUAUGCACUACGGAUGCAGUAUCAUAUGCAUGAUACUAGUAUAUGAUACUUUCCAUUAAACCAGCCUAAGGAAUGCUCUAGAACUUUAUUGUGUAGCAGCAUAGCAAAGUAUAAUCUACAUCAAACAAAAAGAGUAGAGGUUUUCCUGUUUAUUUUUAUUUUUCCUUUUUCUGUUUCCAUUUUCUUGUUUUGUUUAUUUUUCCUUUUUUUUUGCCUUUUGCCUUUUGUUUUCAAGUUUAUUUUUCUUCUUCAGUAGUUUUUCAGAAUUUUUAGCAAAUCCAUAUUUUCCAAAAAAAUUGUUAAUGAAAUUCACAAAAAUGAUCAUUUUUCCAAAAAUGUUCGUGCUUUCAAAAUUUUGUUCGUGUUUUAGAAUUUUGUCCGGGAGUUUUAGAAAAUUUCCUUGUUUUCAAGAAAUGUUCGCCUUUUCAAAAUUUGUUUGAGUUUUUAAAUUUUUGUUCGGGAGCUUCAGAAAAUGUUCCUGUUUUCAAAUUUUCUUCUCAUUUUUAUAUUUUCUUCAGGAGUUACAAAUAAAUGUUCGUGUUUUCAAAAAUUGUUCACAUUUCUUUAAUUUUGUUUGGGAGUUUAAAAUUUUCCCCUUUUUUCAAAAGAUGCCCGUCUUUUCUUUUUUUUCCUUUUUUAUUUUUGUUCGGGAGUUUCAGAAAAUUUGUUUGCAUUUUAAAAUUUUGUUCGGGAGUUUAAAGAAAUGUUCACGUUUUCACAUAAAUGUUCGUUUUUUCAAAAAUUGCUCCCUAUUUUGAAUUUUGUUUGGGAAUUUAGAAAAACAUUUUCAAAGAAAAAUCAAAAUUCCAAAAAAUGUUCCCGAUUUCAAAAACAAAAAUUCUAGACCUUAUAAUGUUCUUGCUUUUCAAUUUUUUCAGGGUUUCAAAAAAUAUUCCUGUUUUCAGACUUUGUUCAAAGUUUUCAAAACAUGUUCCUGUUUCUCAAAAAUUGACCGAUGAUUUGAAAAUGAUAAUGUUUUAAAAAAAUCAAAAAACAUUUUGUGUUUUAGAAAACAUAAAUUUGUCACCAUCAAACAAGUUUUGGGAUGGAAAACCCUGUUAUUUCUUUCCGUAGGGACCUUUUAGGACCUCGCCUGGCAGCUUGGAAUGAGCUACUCAUACGUCUAGGAUAUUCAGCUGUCAGAUGAACCGGACAUCUUUCGACGGAAUUUGCAUCAUAAUGGCAAAUUUAGAGUCAAAUUCAUGUAUGAUGCAAUGGUUCAUUGUGAUGUUCCGGUUGAUAACAGGAAAUUGUGGAAGCUUAAAAUUCCUCUAAGAGUGAAGAUAUUCCUCUGGUUCCUAAACAAAGGGGUCAUCUUAACUAGAGAUAAUCUGGCACGACGCAACUGGCAAGGCACCAAGGCGUGUGUCUUUUGCCAACAUGACGAGUCUAUUAAGAACUUAUUUUCUGAGUGUAAGUUCGCUCGGUCUGUUUGGACCAUAGUUCAAGUANNNNNNNNNNNNNNNNNNNNNNNNNNNNNNNNNNNNNNNNNNNNNNNNNNNNNNNNNNNNNNNNNNNNNNNNNNNNNNNNNNNNNNNNNNNNNNNNNNNNNNNNNNNNNNNNNNNNNNNNNNNNNNNNNNNNNNNNNNNNNNNNNNNNNNNNNNNNNNNNNNNNNNNNNNNNNNNNNNNNNNNNNNNNNNNNNNNNNNNNNNNNNNNNNNNNNNNNNNNNNNNNNNNNNNNNNNNNNNNNNNNNNNNNNNNNNNNNNNNNNNNNNNNNNNNNNNNNNNNNNNNNNNNNNNNNNNNNNNNNNNNNNNNNNNNNNNNNNNNNNNNNNNNNNNNNNNNNNNNNNNNNNNNNNNNNNNNNNNNNNNNNNNNNNNNNNNNNNNNNNNNNNNNNNNNAAACAAUUUUCUGCACAUAUUCUUGUGAGGGCGGCUGCCUUAUGCUGGGCUUUGUGGCUUACCAGGAAUGAUGUGGUUUUUAAUAAAAAAAUAUGUUUCAUCUCCUAUGCAGGUUAUUCAUGUAUGUACGUCAUGGCUCCGUACUUGGUCUAUCCUGCAGAGGCUGGAGGACAGGGACCUAUUUAUGAUGGCGUCUACGUGGCUGGAGCGUACGGCCAGAGAGGUUUUCUCCCUCAGGGAUGGCGGUGUGAUCUCCGGAUAGGAUGUGCCACAUCAUAGGCUGGACUGAUAUAUUUUUUUUAAGCUGUAAAACAAUUUUAUUUUUGAGUCGGUUGGACUUAUUGGCCAUGUGCAUCAAGUUAUGUAGAGGCCGGGCAUUCUUUAGAUGUGAUUGUAUCACCUUGAUAUAUCAAUUCAAUGAAAUGUCCUUUAUCGAACAAGAAGAAGCAAGAUUACGAAGAUAAUGGAAGAAGCUGCUGCUUACUGCCUUGUUGGCUGCUAAUUGCAACUUUGAGCGGGUCGCGUUGUUAUGGAGAUUAUGUCUCCGGUGAUGACGUACGAUAAAUAUGUUGAUUUGUUUCUAUUGUGGUAUUGGAUGAUCAUACAUGACAAGACCUCUGGGUUGCUAGCUGUUCACUGCUAUCACUUUCCAUCAUGCAAUCAUCGAUGACCACUAAGUAUCCUUGACUCCCAGUUUUAGUUUCGGGCUCUCAGUUAGUUUGCUUGCUACUUUCUAGUGAUUUUAGUAAUUGCACCACUAGUUUGAAUUCUCCGUGUUGAUUUCGGAAGUGUUGAUCUGUCUAGCAGGUUGAAAAUGGUUAGGUCCUCAUGAGACCUGACCUGAGAUGUGUUCAAGGUGACAAGUACUUCAUGGAUGGAACCGGAGGCGACAAGUAUUUGGUGGCCGGGAACGUAUCCAGUGCACCGGUGUUAGUGGUGCUACCGGUGCACCAGAUCUCCUAGCACAUUUUAGAAUCCUCCAAGAAAUAUGGAACAAACUAAACACAUACACACGACAUCAAUGUUUGUUGUCGCAAAAAUUCAAAUCCAAAUUAAAAGAUUGCUCGACAUACAAUCAUGGAAAAUUUGACAUCAAUAUGAUAAUGGACCAAAUCUAAAGACCAACUUAUAUUGCUUACUAUUUAGUGUUAAAUUUGUCUUUUUGUAUCUCGAGCAAUGUUUCAAAUUUUCAUUUGAAAUUUUGCGGCAACAAACACUGAUGUUCCAUGAAUGUAUUAAUUUUUUUAACAGUUUUUGAACCAUUUUAAAAUGUGCUAUGGAGGUCUGGUGCACCGGUAGCACCACAAGCAUCCGUGCACUAGAUAUUUUUCCCCUUGAUGGUCAAGCUCCCGUACAAGCAUGUUGCGACUGAUCAUGGUGGAUCAGGAGGACUCCGGCGACGUGCGCUGCAGGUAGAGGAUGUGUUUCACAAGGCAGUUGUUGAGGUGAACGGGGAAGGCACUGAGGCGGCCCACCUACUCCACCUGGACCUAUUUGUGUACUAGCUAUCUACCUCCUUCGCAUGUGGAUUUCAUUGCGGACCACCUGUUUAUUGUUCUUCAUUGUGGAGGGGUGUCUUGUGAAGUGGUCUUCGCCGGCCAUGGUGGAACUGGGUGAAAAACAUGCCACAAUGACCAGGGCCAACCCCGGCAUUAUGUAGGUCGUAGUUAAUUAUAACAGAGAGAAAGAAAUAUUCCACUGGUUUAUGCUAUAUAUAUUUCAUAAAAAAGCAUUAUAAAUACAUAAAUAUAAAAAACAUGCAAGAGGGAGGGGGGCAUUGGCCCUCUAAUGGGCGCUAAGCCACCACACCUUUUGUAUGAGUAUCUCUCGUCACACCUAAACCUCUCACAACCUCUCUGUACUAUCUUCACAACAUAUCAUUGCCCAAUUUGUGAAAUCAAUUGUUCUGACAAACACAUGAGCCAUCAUCCAAGAGCACGAAGCAACCACAUGACAGAGUUGGUAAUUUAUUUCAUCAUCCUCCACGAGCAGGAAGCACCACGCGGAACAGUACUGCUUAUUCAUCACUACCUUGAGAUACCAUUUGCGUUGCUCCUCCGCCGAGCAUAACCAGAAAGUGUGGCAGCGGUGGAGCAUGUGAUCCAUUCAUUCAGCAUGUACUGCUAAUUGACAUUAUUAUGAUGGAACUAGGUGAAAAACAUGCCACAAUGACCAGAGCCAACCCCGGCACUAUGGAGGCUGUAGUUAUAACAGAGAGAAAUAAAUACUUCACUCGUAUAUGCUAUAUUUCAUAAAAAGCCCCCUUGGGCUGGUGACAACAACUUCUCAUCAAUAUUGUAGGACAUGAAAAGAUUCCUAAAUUAAGUUGAUCCAUACGUAAUCUCGCCCCUUUGUUGUUCAAUACAACGACCACAUAAGUUGGCUACCAUGAUUGUGGUUCAUGUGAUGUACUCUUUGGGGGUGAUGUUGAUCAUGCGUGAAUUAUUUUUUUAUGUUCAUAUGUGUUAAUUGUCUCUAAGAAUAAAGGGAUAAUAAACUGAUGAUAAAGGGGUAAUAAUAAAGGGAUAAUAAACUUGUUUGCCUCCGUGAUGAGAGGGAGGCUUUAUGGGCAUAUUAUUGAAUUGUAUGUCACCUUGCCAAAGGGGAGGCUCUGUUUUGUUACUUAAAAGUUUGGGUGAUGUAGAGGGAUCUCGAUGAAAGAGUGAAAUAUUAGCCAUAGAUGCAGGGUGGGUCUCGGUCUAUGGAUUUAUGGACGUAUUUCAUAUAUAGCAUCAACACAUCACAACAAUCUAGCAUGAGCGCCGGAAAUUUUGUUUUUCACAUGUCAAUGUUAUCUUGCCACACUUAUUAUCUACUACUAAAUGUUGUUGGGGAACGUAGUAAUUUCAAAAAAAUUCCUACGAACACGCAAGAUCAUGGUGAUGCAUUGCAACGAGAUGGGAGAGUGUUGUCUACGUACCCUCGUAGACCGUUCGCGGAAGCGUUAUACCAAGGCGGUUGAUGUAGUCGUACGUCUUCACGAUCCGACCGAUCCAAGUACCGAAAGCACGACACCUCCGAGUUCUACACACGUUCGGCUCGGUGACGUCCUCGCCUUCUCGAUCCAGCAAGAGGGGCGAAGUAGUAGAUGAGUUCCGGCAGCACGACGGCGUGGUGACGGUGUUGGUGAAGAACAAUCUUCGCAGGGCUUCGCCUAAGCACUACGCUAACUAUGACGGAGGAUAAAUUAGAGGGGACGGGGUUGCCGGCACACAGCUUGAUGUUUCUUGAUGUGUCUUUGGUGCUAGCCCUGCCCCUCUAUUUAUAUGUUGAGCCCUGGGGUCGAAACCUGGAGCAAAAGCCUCCUCAAAGUCGGUUUUGCCCAAAAGUCAAGAGUCCCACUCGGACUCCAGGACCAAACGCCACAAUCCUUGGCGUCUGGUCCAGACGCCAUGGGCCUCGGCGUCUGGCCCAGGGCCAGACGCCAGGGUCUCCGGCGUUUGGCCCCCUGGCCUCCGCAAAACUCCUUUUGCACCGACUUAUAGCCCCGUGGGCCUGACCCCUUGGCCUAACCAUAUCAUCCAAUAUAUCAAUCUUUACCUCCGGACCAUUCCGGAGGUCCUCGUCAUGUCUGUGAUCUCAUCCGAGACUCCGAACAACAUUCGGUCACCAACAUACAUAACUCAUAUAAUACUAUAUCGUCAACGAAUGUUAAGCGUGCAGACCCUACGGGUUCGAGAACUAUGUAGACAUGACCGAGACACUUCUCUGGUCAAUAACCAAUAGCGGAACCUGGAUGCCCAUAUUGGCUCCUACAUAUUCUACGAAGAUCUUUAUCGGUCAGAUCGCAUAACAACAUACGUUGUUCCCUUUGUCAUCGGUAUGUUACUUGCCCGAGAUUCGAUCGUCGGUAUCUCAAUACCUAGUUCAAUCUCGUUACUGACAAGUCUCUUUACUCGUUCCGUAAUACAUCAUCCCGCAACUAACUCAUUAGUUGCAAUGCUUGCAAGGUUUAUAGUGAUGUGCAUUACCGAGUGGGCCCAGAGGUACCUCUCCGACAAUCGGAGUGACAAAUCCUAAUCUCGAAAUACGCCAACCCAACAAGUACCUUCGGAGACACCUGUAGAGCACCUUUAUAAUCACCCAGUUACGUCAUGCCGUUUGGUGGCACACAAAGUGUUCCUCUGGUAAACGGGAGUUGCAUAAUCUCAUAGUCAUAGGAACGUGUAUAAGUCAUGAAGAAAGCAAUAGCAACAAACUAAACGAUCAAGUGCUAAGCUAACGGAAUGGGUCAAGUCAAUCACAUCAUUCUCCUAAUGAUGUGAUCCCGUUAAUCAAAUAACAACUCAUGUCUAUGGUUAGGAAACUUAACCAUCUUUGAUCAAUGAGCUAGUUAAGUAGAGACAUACUAGUGACACUCUGUUUGUCUAGCCCGUGCUCUGCACGUUGAGAGGCAUAUAAAAACAUAUUCCAUUCAUUCGGUUUCAAAAGUCUAUCUCAUUUUUUCCUUUUUUGCUUUGUAAGUCUUGUUUUUAUUGUUCUCGGUCACCUUUUUAGAUUUCGAGUCACGUUAAAUCGUUGCAUGCAAGAACUAAAAGAAAACUCACAAAUGUAUGUAGAAGUCUCUGGCCAUUUAGUGGUCACACAUGCAUGCAUUGCAGUUAAUUCAAAUUAACUUGUCGAUGAACUCCAUUCUUGAGGAAAAUGAGUACGCUAAUUGAGUACUUUCACAAAAUAUGAAGUUUAUCACAUCACCCACCAUCUACCUUGGUUCGAGAGUUUUUUGAAUUGGACCUUUUAAACCAGAAGGAGGGAGUAAUACGACUGUUAUCAGAAAUUGAAUAUGCUUAUAUAGUAAGAUAUAAAGAUAAGACGGUCAAGCAAAUAAUUUAUUCUGAAGUAAUGUUAUUUUUCAAAUCAGGCAUAAGUUUUUUUCAUAAACUUUACAAUUGGCAUAUUCUUGUGAAAUUUUGGUAUUAAUAUGACUAUUGUAUAAAUUUUGGAAAAUGCAAAUAAAAACAGCUUGAAUAGUUCCAGACUAUUCCAAUUGCCAAAUGUCCAAUACCAAUAAAAUUAUAUGUACAUAAGAAAUCUGAAAUUGUGAUAACAGAAUCUACUCUAUUGAUUUUUCUGGAAAACAUGUUCUAGGUCAAGCUAAAUGAGUUUGAUAUAGACACAAGUUAUUUUCUUUUUGAUGUCUCAACAUGUGUUUAAGAACUAAGAUAUUCAUUGAUGGAAUGGUAUAGUUUUCUUUAAGAAUGGAAAUGUUCAUUGAUGGUACAGUUUACACAAAUUAACCUCUCAACUAUUGACGUUUUUUUGUUAUUGCACUUUCCUAUUAGUUGGUUUUACUUGUAAACUCCAGUUAAAAAUAAAUGCUUUAGUGGACUAAAGAAACGUUCAUCAUAUAAAAUGCAAAGAUGGUGUGCAAUAGAAUGUGAAGCUUCAGAUUUAGUUUUCUUCUACGUUGCUUGGGGUUUGGUUGGGUAUAUUGGUACGUAAUCUUUUUUAGAGGUAUAUUGCUAUGUAAUCUUGGUUGCAGUGAUACAUCCACUCCGACUGGGCCAGGCAAAAAAUUCACUCGGCCCACAAGUGACAAGUCCUCAAACGGACAGGGCUUCUGAAAAUGUCGCGUAGCUCCCAGGCACGCAACGUGUUGCGGGGGCAGAUGCGUGUGACAGGACUGGCGAAUCCAGCGCAUGCUAGCCGUUGGAUUCUUAGCUUUGAUGAUGGAUGAACGGUCGCUGUUAGUACAUCUUGGCAAAUCAACGACUGCAAUCACUCGAGUGCUGUUUUGGCGGGAAAGCCAAGACAAACGUGGUAAAUCCAAAUUUUAAACUGACACAUUAUAGUAGUAGAGAUAUGUAUUCACACAUGUAUUAUAUUUGCGGUUAAUACAAUUCUAAUAUGAAUAAUAAACAUUUAUCAUGAAACAAGGAAAUAAAUAAUAACUUUAUUAUUGCCUUUAGGGCAUAUUUCCUUCAGUCUCCCACUUGCACUAGAGUCAAUAAUCUAGAUCACAUCGUCAUGUGAUUUAACAUCAAUAGUUCACAUCACCAUGUGAUUAACACCCAUAGUUCACAUCGUCAUGUGACCAACACCCAAAGGGUUUACUGAGUCAAUAAUCUAGUUCACAUCGCUAUGUGAUUAAUACCCAAAGAGUACUAAGGUGUGAUCAUGUUUUUCUUGUGAGAGAAGUUUAGUCAACGAGUCUGCAACAUUCAGAUCCGUAUGUAUUUUACAAAUUUCUAUGCCAACAAUGCUCUGCACGGAGGUACUCUAGCUAAUUGUUCCCACUUUCAAUAUGUAUCCAGAUUGAGACUUAGAGUCAUCUGGAUCAGUGUCAAAAUUUGCAUCGAUGUAACCUUUUACGACGAACCUUUUUAUCACUUCCAUAAUCAAGAAACAUAUACUUAUUUCACUAAGGAUAAUUUUGACCGCUGUCCAGUGAUCUACUCCUAGAUUAAUAUUGUACCCCCUUACCAAAAUCAGUGUACGGCAUACAAUAGAUCUGGUACAUAGCAUGGCAUAUUUCAUAGAACCUAUGGCCAAGGCAUAGGGAAUGACUUUCAUUCUCUUUCUAUCUUCUGCCGUGGUCGGGCUUUGAGUCUUACUCAGUUUCACACCUUGUAACACAGGCAAGGACUCUUUCUUUGACUGUUCCAUUUUGAACUACUUCAAAAUCUUGUCAAGGUAUGUACUCAAUGAAAAACUUAUCAAGCGUCUUGAUCUAUCUCUAUAGAUCUUGAUGCUCAAUAUGUAAGCAGUUUCAACGAGGUCUUUCAUUGAAAAACUCCUUUCAAACAUUCCUUUAUGCUUUGCAGAAUAAUUCUACAUUAUGUCCGAUCAACAAUAUGUCAUUCACAUAUACUUAUCAGAAAUGUUGUAUGCUCCCAUUCACUUUCUUGUAAAUACAGACUUCACCGCAAGUCUGUAUAAAACUAUAUGUUUUGAUCAACUUAUCAAAGCAUAUAUUCCAACUCCGAGAUGCUUGCACCAGUCCAUAGAUGGAUCGCUGGAGCUUGCAUAUUUUGUUAGCACCUUUAGGAUUGACAAAUCCUUCUGGUUGCAUCAUAUACAACUCUUCUUAAAUAAAUCCAAUAAGGAAUGCAAUUUUGUCUAUCCAUUUGCCAGAUUUCAUAAAAUGCGGCAAUUGCUAACAUGAUUCAGAUAGACUUAAGCAUAGAUACGAGUGAGAAACUCUCAUCGUAGUCAAUACCUUGAACUUGUCGAAAACCUUUUUGCGACAAUUCUAGCUUUGUAGAUAGUAACACUACUAUCAGCGUCCGUCUUCCUCUUGAAGAUCCACUUAAUCUCAAUGGCUCGCCAAUCAUUGGGCAAGUCAAUCAAAGUCCAUACUUUGUUCUCAUACAUGGAUCUCAUCUCAGAUUUCAUGGCCUCAAGCCAUUUCGUGGAAUCUAGGCUCAUCAUCGCUUCCUCAUAGUUCGUAGGUUCGUCAUGGUCAAGUAACAUGACCUCCAGAACAGGAUUACCGUACCAUUCUGGUGCGGAUCUCACUCUGGUUUACCUACGAGGCUCAGUAGUAACUUGAUCUGAAGUUACAUGAUCAUCAUCAUUAGCUUCCUCACUAAUUGGUGUAGUAGUCACACGAAUAUAUUUCUGUGAUGAACUACUUUCCAAUAAGGGAGCAGGUACAGUUACCUCAUCAAGUUCUACUUUCCUCCCACUCACUUCUUUCGAGAGAAACUCCUUCUCUAGAAAGGAUCAAUUCAUAGCAACAAAUAUCUUGCCUUCGGAUCUGUGAUAGAAGGUGUACCCAACAGUUACUUUUGGGUAUCCUAUGAAGACGCACUUCUCCGACUUGGGUUUGAGCUUAUCAAAAUGAAACUUUUUCACAUAAGCAUCGCAACCCCAAACUUUAAGAAACGACAGCUUGGGUUUCUUGCAAAACCAUAGUUCAUACGGUGUCGUCUCAACGGAUUUAGAUGGUGGCCUUUUUAAUGUGAAUGCAGCUGUCUCUAAUGCAUAACCCCAAAACGAUAGUGGUAAAUCGAUAAGAGACAUCAUAGAUUGCACUAUAUCAAAUAAAGUAUGGUUAUGGCAUUCGGACACACCAUUACGCUGUCGUGUUCCAAGUGGCAUGAGUUUGUGAAACUAUUCCACAUUGUUUUAAUUGAAGAUCAAACUCCUAACUCAAAUAUUCGCCUCUGCGAUCAGAUCGUAGAAACUUUAUUUUCUUGUUACGAUGAUUUUCCACUUCACUCUGAAAUUUUUUGAACUUUUCAAAUGUUUCAGACUUAUGUUUCUUCAAAUAGAUACACUCAUAUCUGCUCAAAUCAUCUAUGAAGAUCAAAAAAUAAUGAUACCUGCCGCGAGCCUCAAUAUUCAUCGGACCACAUACAUCAGUAUGUAUGAUUUCCAACAAAUCUGUUGGUCGCUCCAUUGUUCCGGAGAACGGAGUCUUAGUCAUCUUGCCCAUGAGGCAUGGUUCGCAAGCAUCAACUAAUUCAUAAUCAAGUGAUUCCAAAAGCCCAUCAGCAUGGAUUUUCUUCAUGCGCUUUACACCAAUAUGACCUAAACGGCAGUGCCACAAAUAAGUUGCACUAUCAUUAUUAACUUUGCAUCUUUUGACUUCAAUAUUAUGAAAAUGUGUAUCACCACGAUCGAGAUCUAACAAACCAUUUUCAUUGGGUUUGUGACCAUAGAAGGUUUUAUUCAUGUAAACAGAACAACAAUUAUUCUCUAAAUUACAUGAAUAAUCAUAUUGCAAUAAACAUGAUCCAAUCAUAUUCAUGCUCAACACAAACACUAAAUAACAUUUAUUUUAGGUUUAACACUAAUCCUGAAAGUAUAGGGAGUGUGCGAUGAUGAUCAUAUCAAUCUUGGAACCAUUUCCAAUACACAUGGUCACUUCACCCUUAACUAGUCUCUCUUCAUUCUACAACUCCCGUUUCGAGUUACUAUUCUUAGCAAAUGAACUAGUAUCAAAUACUGAGGGGUUGCUAUAAACACUAGUAAAGUACACAUCAAUAACAUGUAUAUCAAAUAUACCUAUAUUCACUUUGCCAUCCUUCUUAUCCGCCAAUUACUUGGGGUAGUUCCACUUCCAGUGACCAGUCCCUUUGCAGUAGAAGCACUCAGUUUCAGGCUUAGGUCCAGACUUGGGUUUUUUCACUUGAGUAGCAACUUGCUUGCCGUUCUUCUUGAAGUUUCCCUUUCUUUCCUUUGUCCCUUUACUUGAAACUAGUGGUUUUGUUUACCAUCAACACUUGAUGCUUUUCUUGAUUUCUACCUUUGUUGAUUUCAGCAUCACGAAGAUCUUGGGUAUCGUUUCCAUUAUCCCUUGCAUAUUAUAGUUCAUCACGAAGUUCUACUAACUUGGUGAUGGUGACUAGAGAAUUCUGUCAAUCACUAUUUUAUCUGGAAGAUUAACUCUCACUUGAUUCAAGCGAUUGUAGUACCCAGACAAUCUGAGCACAUGCUUACUGCUUGAGUUAUUCUCCUCCAUCUUUUAGCUAUAGAACUUGUUGGAGACUUCAUAUCUCUCAACUCGGGUAUUUGCUUGAAAUAUUAACUUCAACUCCUGAAACAUCUCAUAUGGUUCAUGACGUUCAGAAUGUCUUUGAAGUCCCGAUUCUAAGCCGUUUAAGCAUGGUGCACUAAACUAUCAAGUAGUCAUCAUAUUGAGCUAGCAAAACGUUCAUAACAUCUGCAUCUGCUCCUGCAAUAGGUUUGUCACCUAGCGGUGCAUCAAGGACAUAAUUCUUCUGUGCAGCAAUGAGGAUAAACCUCAGAUCACGGAUCCAAUCCGCAUCAUUGCUACUAACAUCUUUCAACUUAGUUUUCUCUAGGAACAUAUCAAAAAUAAAACAAGGGAGCUAAACGCGAGCUAUUGAUCUACAACAUAAAUAUGCUAAUACUACCAGGACUAAGUUCAUGAUAAAUUUAAGUUCAAUUCAUCAUAUUACUUAAGAACUCCCACUUAGAUAGACAUCCCUCUAAUCCUCUAAGUGAUCACGUGAUCCAUAUCAACUAAACCAUGUCCGAUCAUCAUGUGAGAUGGAGUAGUUUCAAUGGUGAACAUCACUAUGUUGAUCAUAUCUAUUAUAUAAUUCACGCUAGACCUUUCGGUCUCAGUGUUCUGAGGACAUAUCUGUUAUAUGCUAGGCUCGUCAAGUUUAACCUGAGUAUUCCGCGUAUGCAACUGUUUUGCACCCGUUGUAUUUGAACGUAGAGCCUAUCACACCCGAUCAUCACGUGGUACCUCAACACGAAGAACUUUCGCAACGGUGCAUACUCAGGAAGAACUCUUGUACCUUGAUAAUUAGUGAGAGAUCAUCUUAUAAAGCUACCAUCAAACUAAGAAAAAUAAGAUGUAUAAAAGAUAAACAUCACAUGCAAUCAAAAUAUGUGACAUGAUAUGGCCAUCAUCAUCUUGUGCCUUUGAUCUCCAUCUCCAAAGCAUCGUCAUGAUUUCUAUCGUCACCGGCAUGACACCAUGAUCUCCAUCAUCUUGAUCUAUAUCAAUGUGUCGUCACAUGGUCGUCUCGCCAACUAUUGCUCUUGCAACUGUUGCUAUCGCAUAGCGAUAAAGUAAAGCAAUUAUUUGGCGCUUGCAUCUUAUGCAAUAGAAAGACAACCAUAAGGCUUUUGCCAGUUGCCGAUAACUUCAACAAAACAUGAUCAUCUCAUACAACAACUUAUAUCUCAUCACGCCUUGACCAUAUCACAUCACAACAUGCCCUACAAAAACAAGUUAGACGUCCUCUACUUUUUGGUUGCAAGUUUUACAUGGCUGCUACGGGCUGAGCAAGAACCGUUCUUACCUACGCAUCAAAACCAUAACGAUAGUUUGUCAAGUUAGUGUUCUUUUAACCUUCUCAAGGACCGGGCGUAGCCACACUCGAUUCAACUAAAGUUGGAGAAACUGGCACCCGCCGGCCACCUAUGUGCAAAGCACGUCGGUAGAACCAGUCUCGCGUAAGCGUACGCGUAAUGUCGGUCCGGGCAGCUUCAUCCAACAAUACCGCCGAACCAAAGUAUGACAUGCUGGUAAGCAGUAUGACUUGUAUCACCCACAACUCACUUGUGUUCUACUCGUGCAUAUUACAUCAACGCAUAAAACCUGGCUCGGAUACCACUGUUGGGGAACGUAGUAAUUUCAAAAAAAUUCCUAUGCAGACGCAGGAUCAUGGUGAUGCAUAGCAACAAGAGGGGAGAGUGUUGUCUACGUACCCUCGUAGACCGUUCGCGGAAGCGCUAUAUCAACGCGGUUGAUGUAGUCGUACGUCUGCACGAUCCGACCGAUCCAAGUACCGAAAGCACGGCACCUACGAGUUCUGCACACGUUCGGCUCGGUGACGUCCUCGCCUUCUCAAUCCAGCAAGAGGGGCGAAGUAGUAGAUGAGUUCCGGCUGCACGAUGGCUUGGUGACGGUGUUGGUGAAGAACAAUCUUCGCAGGGCUUCGCCUAAGCACUACGAAAACUAUGAUGGAGGAUAAACUAGAGGGGACGGGGUUGCCGGCACACGGCUUGGUGUUUCUUGAUGUGUCUUUGGUGCUAGCCCUGCCCCUCUAUUUAUAUGUUCAACCCUGGGGUCGAAACUUGGAGCAAAAGCCUCCUCAAAGUCGGUUUUUCCCAAAAGGCAAGAGUCCCACUCGGACUCCAGGACCAAAUGCCACAAUCCUUGGUGUCUGGCCCGGACGCCAUAGGCCUGGGCAUCUGGCCCAGGGCCAGACGCCAGGGUCUCCAGCGUUUGGCCCCCUGGCCUCCGCAAAACUCCUUUUGCACCGACUUAUAGCCCCAUGGGCCUGACCCCUUGGCCUAACCAUAUCAUCCAAUAUAUCAAUAUUUACCUCCGGACCAUUCCGGAGGUCCUCGCCAUGUCUGUGAUCUCAUCCGGGACUCCGAACAACAUUCGGUCACCAACAUACAUAACUCAUAUAAUACUAUAUCGUCAACGAACGUUAAGCGUGCGGACCCUACGGGUUCGAGAACUAUGUGGACAUGACCGAGACACUUAUCUGGUCAAUAACCAAUAGCGGAACCUGGAUGCCCAUAUUGGCUCCUACAUAUUCUACGAAGAUCUUUAUCAGUCAGACCACAUAACAACAUACGAUGUUCCCUUUGUCAUCGGUAUGUUACUUGCUCGAGAUUCGAUCGUCGGUAUCUCAAUACCUAGUUCAAUCUCGUUACCGGCAAGUCUCUUUAUUCGUUCUGUAAUACAUCUUCCCGCAACUAAAUCAUUAGUUGCAAUGCUUGCAAGGCUUAUAGUGAUAUACAUUACCGAGUGGGCCCAGAGGUACCUCUCCGACAAUCAGAGUGACAAAUCCUAAUCUCGAAAUACGCCAACCCAACAAGUACCUUCAGAGACACCUGUAGAGCACCUUUAUAAUCACUCAGUUACCUCGUGACGUUUGGUGGCACACAAAGUGUUCCUCCGGUAAACAGGAGUUGUAUAAUCUCAUAGUCAUAGGAACAUGUAUAAGUCAUGAAGAAAGCAAUAGCAACAAACUAAACGAUCAAGUGCUAAGCUAACAGAAUGGGUCAAGUCAAUCACAUCAUUCUCCUAAUGAUGUGAUCCCGUUAAUCAAAUGACGACUCAUGUCUAUGGUUAGGAAACUUAACCAUCUCUGAUCAACGAGCUAGUCAAGUAGAGGCAUACUAGUGACACUCUGCUUGUCUAUGUAUUCACACAUGUAUUAUGUUUCCGGUUAAUACAAUUCUAGAAUGAAUAAUAAACAUUUAUCAUGAAAUAAGGAAAUAAAUAAUAACUUUAUUAUUGCCUCAAGGGCAUAUUUCCUUCAAAUGCCACAUGUCAUGCACGUGUAGAAAUAGUUAUUAGCACACAUACAUGUGGGUAAUUUGAAGUAGUAUCAUAUUUCACACUAUUUUUUAAGUAUUAUCAUGAUUUGAACUACCAUAGUUGGAGUCACACAAUUCGUCAGGCAAUUAAUCAUUAGUUAUAAGAUUAUACAUGAUUUAAUAAUAUAUUUGUGUAAUACCGAAUUUACACAAUAUAGAAUAGCAUGAGAAAAAGGAUGAUAGGUUCGUCCUCAAAUGUUUGUCUUAAUACAGUUUAAGACGUAGUAUUAGAUUGAGAAAUGGAAAGAGUAUUGUUUGCAAGUUUUUUAUCGUUAGAAAUAGAAUAAUAAUUUAAACAAUAAUUAUGUCUGUUUUGCAGAUCAGGAUUUUCAAAGAAUUGUUGACAAAAAACUAACAAAACAAGGGUAAUAAUAUUUGUAAAAUGAAUUUAUAAGGGCAACUAAAAGCUAUUUAGCUGUACAUAUAUUACAUUUUCACUUCGUUUGCUAUUCUUUAAUUUGUUCAGCUUGUGCACCUUUACCCAGGCUACACCAUCACAUGCUUUCUCUCUUAUCAUGAUGCGUACUUGCAGUGUCUAGUACUCCCAGUGCUACUCUACUCUACUUGCUAAUUCUCCUUGCUUUCUUUGUAGCCAGCCACUAUUCAGAAAUUUCUAGCAGUACCAAUGAACCCCAGUCCAAUUCUUAUCAUAAGAAACGCUUUGACGAACUUUUAUUUCUAUUUAUUAUUUACCAGUCAUCCACCCAUGCACCUACAUGGGCUAGCAAAUUAAAUUAUGUACAUAAUAAUUAAAAUGUUAAAAUAUUUUUUAUUUAAUGCACCAACGAAAGAAGAGCUAUUUAGCACAGAAAGAACUAUAGCAUACUUCUCUGAAAGGCUCAGUUCCAAAUUCUUUCCGUGACACUCCUUCAAAAGUACAGACGCCUAUUAUCUUAAGGAGCCUAUGGUCCGACAAAAAUAUCUGAAGUGAAAAAUAAGUAAAUAUAUUUGACCUAAGGAAUGUGCAACUCAAUAGUAAAAUUCCCUUCAACACUUAAGAGAAAGAUUAACAUUUUUAUAAAAACCUCAAUAGUCCAAAAGAUACAUAGACAUUAAACAAACACAAAACUAUACCAUGGAUGAUACAAAUAUCAAUAGUGAUACAUAUACAUUCUUCAGUAAUCAAAAUCAUAUACAUUCCAGCUCAUGAAUUGAGCUAACCUUGGCAAAUAGGGCAUGCAUACAUCGCAUUACACAAGAAAAACAAUAAAAGCUGCAUAGUGCAUACAGGGACAGAGCACGAGGAUAAAGUUGGAGAUAUUUUUUGCUGCAUCCAUGAACUAUUAAAAUCAUUCUCUCAGUAACAAAACAUCGAGCCGCCGCCCACUGCACACCACACUGAGCAGCCGCGCACCCAAAUCCCCCCCUCUCCCAAGAUCUCAUCGCCGCCGCCCACCGGCCGGACCUCUCCGCGUCCGGAGCCCACCCACCGCGCCACCGUGGUCACCGCGGUGGGCUAGGGUUUGGUCUUUCACGCGGCCGUGCUGCUCGUGGUUGACCUCUGUCCGCAUCGACCUCCACCACCCGGGCUUCACCUCCGUCGCCGUCUACACCGACCUCCACCGCUCGGGCUACACCGCCAUCACCGUCUGCAUCGACCACCAUCGCCCGGGCUUCACCUCCGUCACGGUCUGCAUAGACCUCCCCCACCCGGGCUUCACCUUCAUCGUCGUCGGCCUCCACCACCAAAGUAACCUUCCCCCCUCCACCACAAAUCUUGACGACGACGAAUGCGAGGAGCAGAUGGCUGCAGGUCACCAUGGCCGGUCUCUGCUUGCUGGUCCUGGUCAUCGAUAUGGUGACAUUGGUGGUGGUCUAGGACAAAAACACAUAUAUUUAGUAGUAAUGGUAUAUUAAGAUUGUGCAUAUAUAUAGCAUGCACUAAUCAAUCAAUGAUUAGUAUGGUAUAUUUAGUUAUCUUGAUGGUUGUUUUAUACCUGUAGUGCUUAUCAUGGUGUUCAAUUUUCUUAAUUUAGGUCACUACUUGGUGACUCAAAAUAUCUUAUAUCUGUUUACAGAGGCAGUAGUUAUUCUCAAUGUUCUGCAAAACCUACCGUUGAUCUUGUUGAUGUUUGAGCUGAUGUUGUUGCUGUCCUUACUGUUGAUGUAGCUAUUGUUGCCACCGGGCAUGUGGUUGCUGCUCUUCGGUGUGUUCUGCUUUGCUCCUAGAUCUGUUGUGCUCCGUGUUGGCUGGUGAGCUCCUCCUGAUGAAGACAUGUACCUAGGGUAGGGACACAGACCUGACCAAAGAGUCCUACCCUAGGACACCCCUGGGAGAAGUCACCUUUCAAUCGACUUGAAGGUAUCCCACUCGACGGGUUCAAGACACUCGACCAAGAAGCUAUCACUCGACCAUGAAGCCAACCACUCGACUGCCAGGAGACCUAAAGUCACUCCGCAGGCAAACGGUCGGCUGUCAAGUAGUCUUUAUGAUCAUUAUAGCACUUUAUUAGGGACGUUACCAGAAACGCCCAACCUUAAAUGUACCUUAAACCCUGCAUUACUGAGGGCGGGAGGGUCCGGCGAACUCUAUAUAAGCCACCCCCUCCUCAAUAUGAAGGGUUCGCACCCCUGUAUCCAUACACGCAUAAUCCAGUCGACCGCCUCCGGGCUCCGAGACGUAGGGCUAUUACUUCCUCUAAGAAGGGCCUGAACUCGUAAACCUCGCGUGUAACAACUUCCCAAUAGCUAAGAUCUAGCCUCUCCAUACUCGCCCCCCUACAUCACUGUCAGAGUUAGAACCACGACAGUUGGCGCCCACCUUGGGGCAGGAAUCUUAGCACUUAGUUGGAGAAGUUGCGAUCUUUUCCGAUCCCUUUGAUCAUGUUUUCUUGUGGAGUUUUGGUGGAGGACCGCGAGAUCCGUCUCGGCGCGCUCACCUUCAUCGUCGAUGACUCCGCCUGGCUUCAGGAGGCACCACUCGACAUCGACGCGCUCCCCGUCCGCGGUGCGACGCACUUCCGCGCAUGCAUUCGUGGCGUCCUCCUGCGGCAGCCAUCGACUCAGUAUCGGUCGGCCCCUGCGUCGUCUCCCCGCCCUGUCUCCCGCCAGCGCAAGCGCUCCGGUCGGUCAAGACUCCAGCGGUGGGUGAGGCAUGCCGUGGCCCGCCAGUCGGCAGCCCCACAAGUCGCGGCAAUCGAGCCCGAUGAAUCCCACUGCGGCCUGUUCGACCUGUCGACUGGCUCCGCGGAGACUGCAUCCGAGUGCGACAGCAGCGACCCAACGGCUGAGAUUCUGGCGGUCGACGGAACGCACAGUCCUCCCGGUUUCCCUCGCGUGGAUGGAGGCGCGGGUGGGGGCGAUCCGUCGCAUCCCCACGAUGAGUAUCUCCCCGAACCUCUCACGUCAUUGCAGCGAGAGGAGCUUCGCCGCCGGAACAUGGACGCGCUCCGCACUCCUAUCGUCGGAGAGACCCCCGAGGCCCGGGCCUUGGAGGACGCGCGUUUUGCCAACUUGGCCGAGCGCACUCGACUGGAGAAUCUCCAGCGAGCACUCAACGAGCAAGCGCGUCAGCGGGCUCCCGAGUCUAGUCGACGCCAGCUCUUCCCGCCGAUGCAGGUAUAUUGAACCCCAGUUCAGAAUUUGGCCGCCGCGGCCCAUAUAGCAGAAUCGAUUCAGCCCUCCCAGUCAGAGGCUGGCAGGGGCUUGUUACAGAUCAGAGCAUUGUUCCGGGCGGUGGGAAACCAGAAUUCCGCUGCCUCUCAGUCGCGGAAUAGAAUCCACAGUCGAUCUGUCGCAACAGAUACAGUCAAGUCGGCUCACAGCCCCGAGAUCGCCCCCGAGGCGUGAGGGACGUGGUGACCGGCGUGACCUGUACAGGAGGAAUGAGCAGUAUGAUCACCGAUUCGACCGUGAUGAUCAACGUCGAGUGCCAACCCCUCCCCCGAGGAGUGGGUCAUAUGCGCCUCGACGGCAAGAUGACAGACGCCCUCAUAGUGUUGGGCAGAGGAUUCCAGUCGACCCCAAAGACCCAGGCUUUGAUGCGAGAUCCAUCCUCGUUCAAGGUUUGGUUGACAGGAACAGAGCUCAUCGAGGAGGCCACAACAAAGAUACGCCUGCCAGCAGCGGAGUACGUGCUUCAGGGCCAGAGUGUUUCAGUCGAGCCAUCAGAGCCGCUGUGAUUCCUCCCAAUUUCAGGCUGGUGACUGGAAUCAGCAAGUUCACCAGUGAAUCUAAGCCUGACACCUGGCUCGAAGAUUACCGAGUGGCUGUACAGAUUGGUGGUGGCAAUGAUGAGGUGGCCAUGAAGCAUUUGCCUCUCAUGUUAGAGGGCUCGGCCAGAGCAUGGCUAAAUCAGUUAGCACCCAGCAGCAUUUACACUUGGGAGGACCUCUCCCGAGUGUUUAUCACGACCUUUGAAGGAACAUGCAAGCGACCUGCAGGCCUUACAGAAUUGCGGUCUUGCGUGCAGAAGCCGAAUGAAACUCUGAGGGAAUACAUCCAGAGGUGGAUCACGCUGCAUCACUCGGUUGAGAAUGUGCCAGACCAUCAAGCGGUUUGUGCCUUCAAGGAAGGUGUCAAAUACAGAGAGUUGAAUCUGAAGUUCGGUCGAACUGGAGAGAUGUCUCUGAAUCAAAUGAUGGAGAUUGCCACCAAGUACGCUAACGGAGAAGAUGAAGAUCGACUCCAGAGUGGCAAGCAGAAAGCAGUCGCCCAGGAAACCGGAGGCAAUUCCAGUCGGAAGCAGAAGCGGAAGGCCGAGCCAGCCGCCCCUGGGGAGGCCCUGGCCGCAACCCAGGGAAAUUUCAAGGGAAAACCCAAAGGCCCCUGGAAGCCCAAGAAAGUCAAGGAUCAAGACGGAAAUGAUGUUUUGGAUCUGCCAUGUCACAUCCACACCAAGAAGGAUGAAGAGGGUAAUUUUAUUUACCCAAAGCAUACCACUCGACAGUGCCAGCUCCUGAUCCAGCAGUUCCAAGGAAAGCAGUCCAAGGAUAAGGAAAAAGAGUCGGACAGAGUCGAGGACAAGGAAGACAGUGACGAUGGAUACCCCCAAGUCAAUUCCACCCUGAUGAUUUUUGCCGAUGUCGAAAGCAAAAGUCGACUGAAAGUCAUUAACCGAGAGGUGAACAUGGUUGCCCCGGCAACACCCAGUUACCUGAAGUGGUCUCAGACUACCAUCACAUUCGACCAGUCUGAUCACCCGACGCACAUUGCCACCCCUGGGAGGCAAGCUUUGCUGGUCGACCCAAUUGUUGAAGGCACUCGACUGACUAAAGUCCUGAUGGAUGGUGGCAGUGGCUUGAACAUACUGUAUGCUGAAACAUUGAAAGGAAUGGGCAUUCCGAUGUCCAGGCUCAGCACCAGUAACAUGAGUUUCCACGGAGUCAUUCCUGGGAAGAAAGCCCAAUCACUCGGCCAGAUCGCUCUUGAUGUGGUUUUCGGUGAUUCAAAGAAUUACCGCAAGGAAAAGUUGACAUUCGAGGUUGUGGACUUCCAAAGUGCUUAUCACGCCAUUUUGGGCAGGCCAGCUUACGCACGCUUCAUGGCCCGGCCAUGUUACGUGUAUCUCAAACUGAAGAUGCCUGGCCCCAAAGGUGUGAUCACUGUUACAGGCAAUCGGAAGAAGGCGGAAGAGUGCUUUCAGAAGGGCUCAAAGAUUGCAGAUGCUCAGAUGGCAGUGGUCGAGCUGCAAGAGUACCAAAAGACUGCCGAUCCAAGUGAGUUGCUUCGAGCCAAGAAGCCUGCUUCAGAAUCAGCUUUUCAGUCGUCCGGUGAAACAAAGACAGUCCACAUUCACCCGACCGACCCCGAUGCUGCCCCGACUCACAUCUCAACGAUGCUUGACUCCAAAUAGGAAGAAGCGCUCAUCCAGCUCCUCCGUGAGAACUGGGACAUCUUCGCAUGGAAACCCUCUGACAUGCCUGGAGUUCCCAGAGGGCUGGAUGAGCACCGUCUACGAGUCGACCCGAAGUUCAAGCCUGUGAAAGAACAUCUUCGACGAUCCGCCGUCCAUAAGAGGAAAGCCAUUGGCGAGGAGGUGGCUCGGCUCUUAGCAGCGGAGUUCAUCCGAGAGAUUUACCACUCCGAGUGGCUCGCCAAUGUCGUCAUGGUCCUCAAGAAGGACAAGUCACUUCGCAUGUGCAUUGAUUUCAAACAUAUCAAUCGAGCCUGCCAGAAAGAUCAUUUUCCUCUCCCUCGCAUCGACCAAAUAGUCGACUCGACUGCGGGGUGCGAGAGAUUGUCUUUUCUAGAUGCUUAUUUUGGGUACCAUCAGAUCCGUCUGUAUGGACCCGACGAAAUCAAAACAGCUUUCAUCACCCCAUUCGGAUGCUUCUGUUAUGUCACCAUGCCGUUCGGCCUCAAGAACGCCGGAGCCAUGUUCAUGAGAAUGAUUCAGAAGUGUUUACUCACUCAAAUCAGUCGGAAUGUGGAGGCAUACAUGGAUGAUAUUAUGGUCAAGUCACGCAAAGGUUCCGACCUGCGAGCUGACCUUGCCGAAACCUUUGCCAACCUCAGGAGGUAUGAUAUCAAGCUCAAUCCAUCAAAGUGUACAUUCGGAGUUCCAGGUGGAAAGUUACUCGGUUUUCUCGUUUCUGAACGGGGGAUCGACGCCAAUCCUGAAAAAGUUGGCACCAUACUCCGGAUGAAGCGUCCCGUUCGCGUGCACGACAUCCAAAAGCUUACAGGCUGCUUGGCCGCCCUAAGUCGAUUCAUUUCUCGCCUCGGUGAAAAGGCGUUGCCCCUUUACCGACUGAUGAAGAAGUCUGACAAGUUCGAGUGGACUCCGGAAGCUGAUGCAGCAUUUGCAGAGCUCAAAGCUCUGCUCUCCACCCAGCCGGUGCUUGCUGCCCCCAAUCAGCAAAGAGCCUCUGCUGCUUUACAUUGCAGCCACAGGGCAAGUUGUCAGCACAGUACUUACGGUCGAGCGGGAAGAAGAAGGAAAGGCCUUCAGAGUUCAGCGCCCAGUCUAUUAUGUGUCUGAAGUUUUGACACCUUCAAAACAAAGAUACCCUCACUACCAGAAGCUUGUAUAUGGAAUUUAUAUGACCACCAAGAAGGUUGCACAUUACUUCUCUGACCACUCCAUUACAGUCGUCAGCGAUGCCCCACUGUCAGAGAUUCUGCAUAACAGAGAUGCAACUGGUCGAGUGGCCAAGUGGGCGAUUGAACUCCUUCCCUUAGAUAUCAAGUUUGAAGCAAAGAAGGCUAUCAAGUCCCAACCAAUCGCAGAUUUCAUCGCCGAGUGGAUUGAACAGCAACUUCUGGCUCAAGUUCACUCGGAGCACUGGACCAUGUUCUUCGAUGGAUCUAAGAUGCUGAAUGGUUCCGGUGCUGGGGUAGUUCUAGUCUCCCCCCGAGGAGAUAAGCUCAGAUAUGUUCUCCAGAUUCACUUCGAUUCCUCCAACAAUGAAGCAGAGUAUGAAGCACUUUUGUACGGGUUGCGCAUGGCCAUUUCACUCAGCGUCCGUCGCCUCAUGGUCUACGGCGACUCAGAUUGGUGGUUAGUCAGGUGAUGAAGGAGUGGGACGUCAGAAGUCCAGCUAUGACUGGUUAUUGCAAUGCAGCGAGAAAGCUAGAAAAGAAAUUCGAGGGGUUAGAGCUUCAUCACAUCCCCCGACUGAAAAAUCAAGCAGCUGAUGAUCUGGCAAAAAUAGGCUCCAAGAGAGAAGCCAUUCCCAGCAAUGUGUUUCUGGAGCACAUCCACUCGCCGUCAGUCCAGGAGGAUCCUUUCACAGAAGAAGCCCCACAACCGAAAAGUGCCACAGAUCCGACUGAAGUCGAAGUUCCUGCUGUGGUCGACCUAAUCAUGGAAGUGUUGGCAAUCACUCCCGACUGGACAAUACCGUACAUCGCGUAUAUCCUAAGGAAAGAGCUCCCAGAAGACGAGGAAGAGGCUCGACAGAUCGUCCGCCGAUCCAAGGCCUUCAUAGUCAUAAAGGGGCAGUUGUAUAGAGAAAGCGCGACUGGAAUCGGUCAAAAGUGCAUAACACCAGAAGAAGGUCGGAUAAUCCUCGAUGAUAUCCACUCGGGGACCUGUGGCCACCAUGCGUCCUCUCGGACCAUUUGGCUAAAGCAUACCGAGCGGGAUUUUACUGGCCUAGAGCAAAUGGGAUGGCAAAAGAGAUAGUCGACAAAUGUGGAGGCUGCUAGUUUUACUCCAACAUGUCACACAAGCCUGCAUCAGCCCUGAAGACCAUUCCAGUCGUCUGGCCGUUUGCUGUCUGGGGACUGGACAUGGUUGGUCCACUGAGAACAGGCAUGAGCGGAUUCACGCAUGUGCUUGUGGCAGUCGACAAGUUCACCAAAUGGAUUGAAGCCAAGCCUAUCAAGAACCUCGAUGCUGGCACUGCUAUCAGUUUCGUCAGAGGACUAACAUUCAGAUAUGAAGUCCCUCAUAGCAUCAUCACUGACAAUGGGUCAAACUUCGAUUCGGACCAGUUCAGAGCUUUUUGCGCCUCUCAAGGCACACGAGUCGACUACGCGUCGGUCGCGCAUCCUCAGUCGAAUGGACAAGCUGAAAGAGCAAAUGGUUUGAUUCUCAAAGGACUGAAGCCUCGGCUGAUGCGUGAUCUCAAGCACGCGGCAGGUGCUUGGGUCGACGAGCUUCCGUCAGUUCUGUCGGGAUUGAGGACCACCCCUAACCGGUCGACUGGAAGAACUCCAUUCUUUCUGGUUUAUGGAGCCGAAGCGGUUCUGCCAAGUGAUCUUCUUCACAACGCACCCCGAGUCGAGCUUUACACCGAAGAUGAAGCAGAAUAGGCCUGGCAAGAAGCAGUCGACCUCCUAGAAGAAGAGAGGGAGAUGGCCAUGAUCUGAUCGACCAUUUAUCAGCAAGACUUGCGUCGAUUCCACGCCCGGAAUAUGAAGAGUCGAGCUUUCCAAGAAGGAGAUUUGGUCCUCCGAGUGGAUCAACAGAAACCACACAAGCUUGCUCCUACUUGGGAAGGCCCUUUCAUCAUCACCAGAGUCCUCCACAAUGGAGUGUAUCACCUCUACAAUGUUGAUCACCAGAUCGAUGAGCCUCGAGCUUGGAAUGCGGAACUACUCCGCCCCUUUUACACUUGAGCUCUCCCUUGGACGAGAUGUAAUAAGAAAAAUUCCUGCAGUUUGUUUUUAUCAAAGGCAAGAAUGUUCCAUCAAUUGUUGUCACUUUUGUUUACAUACGGAAUCCCCCAGGGGUGACUUAGCUGCGAAUCCGUUUUCGCCUAAGUUUGAAAAAAUCCCACCGAGUGGAUAGCGAUCCUCCCACUCGGGGGCUUAGCUGCAGUCCAGCACUCACCUAAGUUGUCUCACCUAGAGACUUAGCUGCAGUCCGGCACUCGCCUAAGUUUGAAAAAAAUCCCACCGAGUGGAGAGCGAUCCUCCCACUCGGGGGCUUAGCUGCAGUCCAGCACUCACCUAAGUUCUAUCACCUAGAGACUUAGCUGCAGUCCGGCACUCGCCUAAGUUUGAAAAAAUCCCACCGAGUGGAGAGCGAUCCUCCCACUCGGGGGCUUAGCUGCAGUCCAGCACUCACCUAAGUUCUCUCACCUAGANNNNNNNNNNNNNNNNNNNNNNNNNNNNNNNNNNNNNNNNNNNNNNNNNNNNNNNNNNNNNNNNNNNNNNNNNNNNNNNNNNNNNNNNNNNNNNNNNNNNNNNNNNNNNNNNNNNNNNNNNNNNNNNNNNNNNNNNNNNNNNNNNNNNNNNNNNNNNNNNNNNNNNNNNNNNNNNNNNNNNNNNNNNNNNNNNNNNNNNNNNNNNNNNNNNNNNNNNNNNNNNNNNNNNNNNNNNNNNNNNNNNNNNNNNNNNNNNNNNNNNNNNNNNNNNNNNNNNNNNNNNNNNNNNNNNNNNNNNNNNNNNNNNNNNNNNNNNNNNNNNNNNNNNNNNNNNNNNNNNNNNNNNNNNNNNNNNNNNNNNNNNNNNNNNNNNNNNNNNNNNNNNNNNNNNNNNNNNNNNNNNNNNNNNNNNNNNNNNNNNNNNNNNNNNNNNNNNNNNNNNNNNNNNNNNNNNNNNNNNNNNNNNNNNNNNNNNNNNNNNNNNNNNNNNNNNNNNNNNNNNNNNNNNNNNNNNNNNNNNNNNNNNNNNNNNNNNNNNNNNNNNNNNNNNNNNNNNNNNNNNNNNNNNNNNNNNNNNNNNNNNNNNNNNNNNNNNNNNNNNNNNNNNNNNNNNNNNNNNNNNNNNNNNNNNNNNNNNNNNNNNNNNNNNNNNNNNNNNNNNNNNNNNNNNNNNNNNNNNNNNNNNNNNNNNNNNNNNNNNNNNNNNNNNNNNNNNNNNNNNNNNNNNNNNNNNNNNNNNNNNNNNNNNNNNNNNNNNNNNNNNNNNNNNNNNNNNNNNNNNNNNNNNNNNNNNNNNNNNNNNNNNNNNNNNNNNNNNNNNNNNNNNNNNNNNNNNNNNNNNNNNNNNNNNNNNNNNNNNNNNNNNNNNNNNNNNNNNNNNNNNNNNNNNNNNNNNNNNNNNNNNNNNNNAGCUGCAGUCGAGCACUCACCUAAGUUCUCUCACCUAGAGACUUAGCUGUAGUCCGACACUCGCCUAAGUUUGAAAAAAUCCUACCGAGUGGAGAGCAAACCUCCCACUCGGGGGCUUAGUUGCAGCCCAGUGCUCGCCUAAGUUUUCUCACCUAGAGACUUAGCUACAGUCCGGCACUCGCCUAAGUUCGGAAAAAUCCUACCGAGUGGAGAGCAAACCUCCCACUCGGGGGCUUAGCUGCAGCCCAGUGCUCGCCUAAGUGUUUAAAAAUCCUACCGAGUGGAGAGUAAACCUCUCACUCGGAGGCUUAGCUACAGCCCAGCGCUCGCCUAAGUACAAGACUCGACCCAAUCCGCGAGUCGACCGCUACCUUCUCCCUCGGAGCUGCGUCGCAAAUGCAAGAUUAUUCCGAGUGAAGAUCAAGUUCCACUCGACGAAUCAAACCGUGAAGAUAUCCAACGAGAAAUCAAGUUCAGAAAAAGCCCAAAAGGUCCCAGACCUCAAAGUACUCGAGCCCUCGGCUCGGCGGAGUUUAAACGGUUACAAAUCCACUCGGCAUCCCGAGGUAAAUUCAAAGUUUUUCACUCCUCGGGAGGAGGACUGGAAGGGGCGACGAACUCAUCCAAGUCGAUCCCGUCGGCGAUACGGGUGGCAGUGGCGAUGAAAGUCUCCAUGAAGUCUUGAAAGUUGUGCUUCCUGGUAUUUGCAACUUGGAUAGCCGCCAGCUUUUCUUCUCGCGCCUCCUUGCAAUGGAUGCGGACCAGAGACAGAGCGACAUCAGCACCACAUCUAGCAGAAGAUUUCUUCCAUUCUGCCACUCGACCUGGGACUUCGUUAAGUCGAGCCAUCAGAGACUCGAGGUCGUUCUGAAGCGUCGUCCCAGGCCAGAGUGAUGUGUCGAUCCGCGACAUUGCAACUUUCAGCCGAGCCAGAUAAUCAACGACGCUGGCAACACGAGACUCCAGUCGGAGCACGUUCAUGGCAGCCUCGUCCUUCACAAGAGAGUUAACAAGGUCCAAGCUUGGCUCCACUCGACUGGUCUCCUCUUCAAAGUUCUGACAGAAUUCUGCAAACACGAUUGAAGAGUAAGACAGUGGCCCUAUGCAGGCUUGGCAAACUGCAAGAUAGUCGGGGCAGAGUAAUUACCUUCGAGCAUGACGAACAACUUCUUGGCAAGUCCACCGAGAUAAGCUUCCAGAUCUUUUACCUUCCCCACCAGCUCACCCGCCUUGUCGUGCAGAGCCAUCUUCUCCUUCUUCAGUCGACUGGCAUCUCGAUUAGCUGCCUCGAGAGCGGUUUUCAGUCUGGAGUUCUCCUGUUCAAGAGCUCCGACUGAAGCCAAUUUCUCCUCUGCAAGCUUCGUUUUGCUUGAGGCCUCCUUCUGUGCCUCUGCAAGGUCUUGGUCCUUCUUCUUCAGAGCUUCCUCCAGUUUAUCUGAGGCGCGUCGAGUGGAACCAACAUCAAGAAUGGACAAGAAAGAAAAGCCACCCGUUAAGAAUAGAGAACCUCACCAGCCAUACCUUUCGCUUCUUCUUGCGCCUUCCUCAAAUUCUCCUGAGCAAGCUUCAAGUUAAGGUUGAGCUGGAUCUGCUGAUUCUCCAACUCAGUAUAGCGAGCUACAAGUUCGCAAGAUUUCUGUAAAAAGGAAAAUCAGUCGACAGACGUCCAAGAUAAGUUGCUUCCGAGUAACUAAGAGACAAUGAUGACGUUUCUAAGACCACAGCCGAAUCAAAAACAUUCGACAGUAGUCUCGGGGACUACACCCAGUGGGUGCACUCAGCGUGCCCCCACAAUUCCACUCGACCUGGCCCGACCAAACCGAGCGAAGAAAUACAGCUAUAGCAACACAAUGUAAAGACUACAGUCGACUGCCAGCAGUCCACCGUAGUCUCGGGGACUACACCCAGUGGGUGCACUUAGCGUGCCCCCACUCGUCCAAAGGAUUGGCAGACACACCCAGUGGGUGUACAGAUACAGAUACAAAAGAUCUUCGGAAAAGAGACUCUUCAAACAGCAUAUCAUAACAGACCAAGUGUCGAGUCGACUGACCUGGACGUUGCUCUGAAGAGUCGAACUCGCGUCAUAGGCUGCUUGGCUGGCCUCCCGAGCCAUCUUCACUUGCUCCAUCAUGAUCCCCGCCUGGCGUAUAGCCUCCUUUGCAGCAGCCGCUUGGUCCUCAGGGACGGGGUAGGCAACAAAAAGCGAAGGUGGAUCCGCAGUCGACGCCGAGGGCCGCGCACUCGCCAGAGGAACGGCGAAGGUCACAGAAGCCCGAGUGGUGUCACCACCAUCCCGAGCCACGGCCUCGGACGCCGAAGCGGAUUGGGGGGUCUUGUCAGCCGACGCCCUCUUGUGCCUCCUCACUCUCAGCGGACCGUCGUCAUCGUCAUCCGGGAGGUCGAUAACAUGAGAAGGAGCUACAAGGAAAACAUUCAAUCGACCAGAGUAGCAAUAAAGGUUCAGUCGACUCAAAGGCAGGACGUCAGCAAUCGUACCAGGGUUGGAGGUAACAGCGUCCUCCAUCUCUUGGUCGUCGUUCCUGGCGGAGACCUCAGAAGUAGCACCGCUGCAAAUCUCGAAAGUCAAUCAGUUGGUUCAGUGAAUCGACCAAGGAUCCGUCCACGGUCGACAAAGGAAAGCAAGUCUUAUUAUUACCCGGAAAUGGUAGGAACAGCCAUCUUCAUCUUGGGCAGAGCCUUGGGCGGCUUGGAUGGCGUCGCUCGUGGAUGCUUGGGAGCCUUCCCAGUCGGCGGAGGAGAAGAGGUCCGAGGGCGUUUCGACGACUGCCCAACAGGAGCAGUCGCCUUGCCACGUUCCCGCGCUGGAUCGUGGGUGAGCUUGGGUCGCCCCUCCGGGCGGGGGGGUUCAACCUCCUCCUCCUCCCCUUCGCUGGAGAAGAUGUCGUCGCCUCCCUCUCCCUCACCGUCGGACUCCCACUCGCCUUGGUCGUCCCCGCUCUCGCCUCCGCUCGCCUCCCCUUCCUUAGUCGACCCCUGUGCACCGUUGGGCGUCGAGUACAUCUCGGUGGUCGCCUGGAAAACAACAGACAAGACGAAGGUCAAUCGACGUAUUCAAAGAAGACCAAUGCAGAAGACAAGAUAUCAGUCGGGAGCGCAAAGACAUACCUGGUCCACCUCAUACGAGUUGUCGAGAGGGGUUACCCUCCUGGCUCCUCGGGGGUUGUCUUUGUUCCCCGUGAUGCUCGACAGCCACCCCUCCACCAUCUCGUCGGUGACCUCCUCCGGGUGGACCCGAGUGGUGUCGUCAAGACCCGAAUACAGCCACAUCGGGUGGUCGCGGGCCUGGAGCGGUUGGAUGCGCCUUUGAAGGAAGACCUCCAGCAGGUCCAUACCAGUCACACCCUCGCGGACAAGCUCAACCACUCGACCUGCCAGCACCUUGACUUGAGCCUUUUCCUCCGGCGCGACUUUCAGAGAGGCAGGCUUCUCGGCUCGGUCGAGGGAAAAAAGAGGAAGACCAGUCGACUGUCCUGGGGUCGCCUCGUCCUUGCAGUAGAACCAGGUCGACUGCCAGCCACGGACCGACUCCGGGAAGGUGAUAGAUGGAAAAUAGCUCUUCCCCCUCGUUUGGAUUGCCAGGCCCCCGCACAGCUGGAUCACCCGCGUCCUCUCGUCACUCGACUUAGCCUUCUUGACCGAUUGAGAACGGCAGGUAAAGAUGUGUUUGAAGAGUCCCCAAUGGGGCCGACAACCCAAGAAAGCCUCACGCAUGGAGAUGAAAGCAGUAAGGUAGACAAUAGAGUUGGGAGUGAAGUGGUGGAGCUGCGCUCCGAAGAAAUUCAGGAAACUCCGGAAGAAAGGAUGGGGCGGCAGAGAAAACCCUCGGUCGAUGUGGGUGGCUAGGAACACGCACUCACCGUCGCGGGGUUGAGGUUCGAUCUCUCCCCCCGGAAUACGCACAACUUCGUGGGGAAUGAAUCCCCCCUCGACCAUAUCGUCGAGAUCCUCUUGCCGGAGCACCGAUGGCAUCCAGUCGCCCUGGAUCCAACCUUUGGGCAGAGCGGUCCUGUAGGAAGAUCCGCCCCGAGCUGACCUCUUCCCUUUCCCCGCCGCCGCCGCCUUCUUCGCGCGCUCCAGAGCGGAGGUCUUGCUCUUCGUCAUCGUCGCCGGCGAAGUCUCGCACGGGCCUGCUGCGUUGGGGCGGGAACGGAGGUGGCGGAGGGACUUGCGAAGGGGGAGAGGCGGAAGAAAGGAGGAGAAUAGAGCCCACUGCUUGGAAACCCCGAGCCGGCGAUUUAUAAGGGACCGCUUCCGAGUGGCUGACUGGUAGGCCCAGGCUAUCCAGUCAAAUCCCGCAGCAGACGCGCGCGCAGUACGUGGCGAAAAAGAUGACACGGGGAUCGAGGAGCUUCCGCUUUAUCGCUUCCGAUUACUACGGCCGCUCCCGUCCCGCGCACUUCCCAAAAUCCGAAUCCCGCGACAUCCGCGGGCCAUAAAACAACUUGUCAAAACAGAAGACCCCGAUCACGCCGGCGCUCGGUGUGUCACAAACAAAGAAAUUCACUCGACGAAAGGCCUGGAAUGGAUCAAGGCGACUGAAAAAGGUUGGCAACGUCAUCCGUGAUGAUUGACCCAAAACGAGGCGCUCACAUAGCCCGAAGAACCAGUCGGAAAGAUCUCCAACUCUUUCCCCACUCUAACCUCGAUCCAUUCAGGGGCUAAUGAUGAAGACAUGUACCUAGGGUAGGGACACGGACCUGACCAAAGAGUCCUACCCUAGGACACCCCUGGGAGAAGUCACCUUUCAAUCGACUUGAAGGUAUCCCACUCGACGGGUUCAAGACACUCGACCAAGAAGCUAUCACUCGACCAUGAAGCCAACCACUCGACUGCCAGGAGACCUAAAGUCACUCCGCAGGCAAACGGUCGGCUGUCAAGUAGUCUUUAUGAUCAUUAUAGCACUUUAUUAGGGACGUUACCAGAAAUGCCCAACCUUAAAUGUACCUUAAACCCUGCAUUACUGAGGGCGGGAGGGGUCCAGCGAACUCUAUAUAAGCCACCCCCCUCCUCAGUAUGAAGGGUUCGCACCCCUGUAUCCAUACACGCAUAAUCCAGUCGACCGCCUCCGGGCUCCGAGACGUAGGGCUAUUACUUCCUCUAAGAAGGGCCUGAACUCGUAAACCUCGCGUGUAACAACUUCCCAAUAGCUAAGAUCUAGCCUCUCCAUACUCACCCCCCUACAUCACUGUCAGAGUUAGAACCACGACACCUCCUGCUCUACUGCUGCUGGUGCUUAAGGCUACUGCUUGUUGUUAUGCAUAUAUACUGUUGUUGCUCUGAUGUUGCUGCUGCUGGUGCUUGAGGCUACUUUGUUGUUAUUGCACAUAUACGGUUUUGCAGAAUAUUGAAUAGUUGGUGGUAGUGCUUGAGUGUUUUUGCAUGUUUGCUGCUGGUGCUAGUACUGCUGGUGCUAUAGCUAGUGCUUACUUUAGUGGUGUGGACUGACGGUGGAGGAGAAGCAACAUGGAGCCCGGAUGUACAGUUGGAGGUGACAGACUCGUCGAGUUCCAACAAAGGUGUGGCAGGGCAGUCCGGGUAUUGGAGCGGCGGCGAAGGCAAGAAAGAAAAACGAAAAGAGAGAAAAUAGGAGGACGAAGGCGCAGGGUCCGUUAGGGGUUAUGGUGGUGUUUUGGGUGGACCGAGGGUGUCGGAGUCCUACAUGUCUAUUGUUCAGACUCCCGCAAAGCUUCCAAGUUUAUCUUGGGUUUGCGGGAAAAAGUGCAUCUGCACCACUCAGCGUACCGAUACACGACCACAUUGGAUGGCUAAACACGUCUCGACCAUGCAGUCUGGAUAGUUGUGUGCGGUUUGAUGGUCUGCCUUGAAUAUGUCCUUAGUCAUAGAGAAGUGUCUAAUUUGAAUCACCUUAAUUAUAUGUUGUAAUAUAUUUAUUUAAGUUUUCACCGUUCGGUAUAUUCUCUUUUUUGUAUCAAUAAAAAUGCAUGUUUGCUAAACAAAUUCGUGAAAAUAGUAGUGAUCAGCUGGGUAGCUGAAUUAUUGUUUGUAGCCGACAUACGUGUGGGUUCAAACAUUACUGGGAGGCAGUGGCGAGUGGACUGGGUAGGAUUUAUUGAGCCUGCCCUCCAGCAAUGCAAAAAAUAAAUAAGUAGUUAAUAGUACAUGUUCCUAUUAGUAUUAUGGCAAAUUCUAGCCUUCUUUGAACAAAAGAAUUGAGACUCAGUGGCUUUUUCUUCACACCAUUGACUUCGAGCCUGCCUGAUUUUUCUCCAAGAUUCGCCACUGCUGGGAGGGUAAACUCAACUAGUACUUACAUGAACCAACAGUUAUAAGUACACUACAGCGAUAAAUUUAUGAACACGUGAACAGAUGAUUAAGCCAACGAUUUGCUAGUACUGUAAAAUCGCAUUAAGCCAUUGUGGACUCGCCGGCGGCGACUCUUGGCAUCGUUCUCCCUUCUGAGGGCGUUGUCGUGGAGUUUAGGUGUUAUAGGGCAUAUUGUGGCGUUGUUAUCAGCUCUUCUUGCGCUCCUUUCCGGUAGCGUAGUUGCGUGCGCCUUGUGUGACCCAGUAUCUUGGGAUCGGUGUUGUAUGAGUAUUAUCUCCUCACCUGUAUUGUUUGACCAUGUAUAUGGUUGGUUGUUGCUUUAUAUAACAGGGUGAAAGCCUAUUUCGAAAAGAAAAAAACUCAUGCAUGGCCUAGAUGGGAUGCUUGUCCCCCGGCUAAAUGAUGCUGGUGCCCGCGAACAGGGGGAGCUGCUGCCCAUCAUCUAGGGCCUGGUCUUGGCAACGACUUCUAAUGUGCGGGAUCUCCGUCAGGGGUGUGCCAAGGGUGCCGGAUUCCUUGACGUACGGCCACCUGACGUUGGGCCAUUGACACGUGGGUCCGGAUUCACACGUCUGUGUAUGGGCCGUACGUCAGAGGAGUUUUGUCCGUGCCAAGGACGAGGUGCUCUCGGCCGGGGCUUACUAGCUUUGCCACUUUGGUGGCCUGAUCGUUCCCUACGUUGACUUCGUCUGUAAAAACUAUGCCCCCAGCUGGGUUCGCUUCUUCCUCCUGGUUCAAGCCAGGAUCCACAUAAGGGAUGUGCUACUACCGAAGAACACAGUCACUACGAAAGCUGUCGGAUGCCUGCUUUGCUCUUCCCCUCUUCAGACGGCAGACCACCUCAUCUUUGGCCGCCCUUUUGCCCGCCGGUUUUGGGGCUUGGUUGGCCCGAACUCCGUAUCACCAACGUCAACCUACUUCACCGGCUGUCACCCCCGUGCUCGGUGCCGAUGAAAAUGGGUCCUACGUACCUUCCUUCUCCUCUGCUGUUGGCAUUUGUGGAAGCACCGAAACACGAUGGUCUUCCAGGGGUUACCACCGUCGAUCCCCUGGCUUCUCAAGUCAUGCAGGGAGGACGCCGUGCUCUGGAGAGUGCGCCUCCCUGAGACGCUCAAGCAUGUGGUUGAUGCUUGGCUGGCCUGCUUUGUGUGCUCUUGCCGUCUCAGGGAGCGGGGUAGAUGUGGGCACGGUUCUUUAUCAAAAUGUGAUUAACAAAAAUAUAGACAACAACUUAGAGUUUUUCAGUUUCCGCAAAAAAAAACAUAGUUUUCAAUAUUCUUCAUUAGUCACUUUUAUGGAAAUUGAUUAAAAAUAGCCGGCUGAUUACAGCGCGGCGUAAGACUCCUCAGACGCGCGACACGCUUCCCUAUGGGGACCCGCAUACCGCUUCUCGACCAGAUCCUUAUUCCCACCAAAGAGGCCUCAACCACAAAAAGCAACUGGUUGUUGACCCAGCUCUCCAGUGGCUCUACAAUGCAUCUCUUCCCCUGGUCGAUGCUCUUUGUCUACUUCCUGGCCCAUUUCUUUUUUCAUCGGUGAAAUCGGAAGCCCGCUACAAGCCGCCCAUGUGCUACCGUGGCCAGCCUGGGACGCGACGCCCAUUGCAAGCCGCCUGUGGACGCUGGUGCAGUGGGGUCACUAGCGCUGCAAUAGGGGUCACACGGCGGUGCUGCAACAGGGGAAAGGCGCGUGAUCGCGCUGCAGUUGAGCGCUUGUCGACAGCUCCCCGGUGCUGCGAUCUAGCGCUGGCCGGCGGCCCGGAGCUGCGACAGUGCUGCAGUGAUGCUUCACCGGCAGCUGCAAUGGAGCUUCACCGGCGGCCCGGAGCUGCGAUCCACCUGGCGGUGCUGCAAUGGAGCUUAACCGACGGCUUCAAUGAAGCUUCAACCCUGGCACGGAGCGACGAUGGAGUGCUUGGUGCUCCAGUGGAGAGCCCAUUGUGGCGGCGGGGGCAGCGAUGGAGCACUUCCGUGCUGGGGAUUGGCGCUACAGUGUAGCAUCACCGACGCCCAUCAGUGGAGCCUUGCUGCGCUAUCGACGCAUGGCUCCUGCUGCGAGCAUAUGACGCUGCUUCCCCACGAAACACGGUCGUUGCUUCGAUGCGGCUGUGAUGACAGGAUAGUGAUCCAUCUUUGUGUUGACCGAUUCAAUGACUUUGAGGGGAUGGAUCCAACGGCUCAUGACCCGACUGAUUUCCCCACAAAAUCAGUCGGUUGAUCCGUAGCAGUGGCCCACCUUUAUUCAAUUUUCAUGUGAUAUAACAUCUUCUAUCAAUGAAUAAAGCUAGAAUGUUGGCAUAUUUUUGUCAGCUAACACACCUUUCUUGGACAAUAACCAAAAGCAUCAGUUAAAUUUCGAAUGAAAAUGUUUAUAUUUGGAUACGUCAUCCGUUUCUAAAUAUAAGUCUUUUUAAAGAUUUUAAUAUGAGCUAUAUAUACGGAGCAAAAUGAUGAAUCUACACUCUAAACUACGAUUUAUAUACAUCUGCAUAUAGUUUAUAUUGAAAUCUAAAAAAAAGUUAUAUUUCGGAACGGAGGUAGUAAUAUAUAUACCGUUUGUCUAAUUUACAUCUAGAUGUUUUUUUAAAAAUGUCACAUCUAAGCUCCCACAAAUAUAUGAUGCAAGAACAAGAAACAAAAAAACUAGAAAGAAAAAAAAACUACAAAUAGAAUGGACAUUAGCUUUUAUGUGACAUAGUGUCCUACACAGACACAUAUACAACAGUAGUAUGAAAUUUGGAGUCUCAACUUGCACAGCCUCGCAUUCAAUUUGCAAAUGCCCGCAUCACCUCUCCACGGUGGCGCCCACGUCAGCCUCCUCCUCGCCGACCGCUGUUCCACCUCCGCGGCCUCACCCUCAUCCACGCAGCCAUGCUUGUCUCCGGCUGCAUGGCCUCCGACGCCUUCGCGGCCUCCCGCCUCCUCGACGCCUACGCCUCGCUCUCCCGUCCCGCCGCCGUGCUCCGCUUCCUCUCCUCGCUCCCGUACGCCACCAACUCAUUCAUGCUCAACACCUCCCCCGCGCCCUCGCCUCCUCCGCCGACUCCGCCUCCGCCACUCCUGCAGCUCCUACACUCCGGGCAGGCACACCUUCCCCUUCCUACUCAAGACCUCCGCUCGGCUCCCUCUUGAUGUGUCCAAGCAGAUACACGCGCUCGUCCUCAAGCACGGGCUCCAUCGUGACACCACUUUGCCAACGGCCUUGUCCACGUGUACUCGGUGGCUCGACUCAUGGGUGUCGCGUGGAAGGUGUUCGAUGAAUUGCCGGUUUGAAGCGUGGUGGUGUAUACCAUGAUGGUCUCUGGCUAUGCGCAUAACAGGCGGUACGAGGACGCCAUGGGAGCCUUUGAUGACAUGCUCAACGAGGGGUUCGAGCCCGGUGCCGUCAUGAUGGCAUCGGUGUUGUCGACCUCGGAGUCGGGCGGGCUGGUGAUGGGGCGGCGUGUGCAUGAUAUCAUGGAGAGGAGGGGGAUGGCGGUGCCUGUGGAGGUGAUCCUUGGCAUGACAUUUAGUACACAUGUAUGCAAAGAAUGGGACAAUCAAGGAGGCGGUAACAGUGUUCAAGGGGAUGCCAGAGCGGCAUACGGCUACGUGGAAUGCUCUGAUCCCAGCGUUGACACACCAUGGGCAUGGCAAGGAUGCGCUGGCGAUGUUCCAGCAGAUGCGCCGGGAGGGUGUGCUGCCGAAUGCAACCAAGGUUGUCAAAGAUAUACUACUCGAAAAAGGGCUAAAGAUGAAAUUGACACUAAUGACACACUGUACAUGUGGUGCGCCAUUACUAAAUACUAAUGACACAUCAUGUGUUGGUGCGUCAUUAGUGUGCAAAUACUAAUGGCGCACCACAUCCACGGUGCGUCAUUAGUAAAAAAAAAUUAACAUGCCACGGUGCGCCAUUAGUAACUUGGCCACCACUUUCACCGAAUGCACCUUCCGGACCGCCUUUUCAGUUAAAAAAAUGAAAAAAAUGAUGGAAAUGUUAAAAAAAUAAAAGAAAAUAAGUUUCCCAUGUGAUAUGUGGUCUAGUUGUUGUGAAAAUUUACAAAUAUGAAUUUCGACUUUAUUUGCGAAAUCUCUCGAGAAUUUGUAAAAUGGGCAUAACUUUUGCGUACGAACUCGGAUAAAAAAGUUUUUUAUACGAAAAAUCAUCUACUCGAAAAGUUACAUCCGAAUUUAACUGGGGAACCUCGUUAAACAUUUUCAAAAUCCUCAAAAACCUAACAGAAAAAAAGAUAUGAGGCUUUUAAGAUCUGAAGAGGCAAAAAAAUUCAAACUUACUAAUGGUGCACCUGCCCAUGGUGCGCCAUUACUAUCUUCCCGCCUUCUAAAUUCAAAAUAAGUCAAAAAAAAUAAAAAAAAAGUUACUAAUGGCGCACCUGCCCAUGGUGCGCCAUUAGUAUCUUCCCGCCUUCAAAAUUCAAAAUAAAUCAAAAAAAAAAUAGUAAUGGCGCACCUGCCCGCGGUGCGCCAUUACUAUGCCGUAUAUAUGGCUGGGCGUGGUCCUCUCCUCCUUACCUCUUCAUUCUUCUCCUCCACUCCACCUCUCCUCCACUACAUCUUCCCUUCUCUCCUCCAUCAUACUACUCUUCUCCUCUCCGGCGACCUCCUCCUCCUCCUCUCCGGUGACCUCCUCCUCUCCGGCGACCUCCUCCNNNNNNNNNNNNNNNNNNNNNNNNNNNNNNNNNNNNNNNNNNNNNNNNNNNNNNNNNNNNNNNNNNNNNNNNNNNNNNNNNNNNNNNNNNNNNNNNNNNNNNNNNNNNNNNNNNNNNNNNNNNNNNNNNNNNNNNNNNNNNNNNNNNNNNNNNNNNNNNNNNNNNNNNNNNNNNNNNNNNNNNNNNNNNNNNNNNNNNNNNNNNNNNNNNNNNNNNNNNNNNAUGCUCUGGUGAACUCCUCUCCGGCGACCUCCUCCUCCUCUCCGGCGAUGUAGGCGAGCGCCUCUCCGGUGACCUCCUCCUCCUCCUCUCCGGCGAACUCCUCUCCGGCAAAAGAACACGACAAAAUAACGUACAAGAUCCAAAAACAGGAACAAAAUUUGAAAUAAUAUCGUGCCAAAAAACAAGCAAAAAAUGGGCAAAAAAAAUCAUGAUCCAGAUCCAAAUUCAAAAUUCAAAAAUAGCAAUGGCGCACGGUGGGGGUUAGACGGUGCGCCACUACUAUUUUCCCGCCUUCAAAAUUCAAAAAUACUAAUGGCGCACCAGUGGCCUAUACUAAUGGCGCACCGUGGCCUAUACUAAUGGCGCACCAGUGGUGCGCCAUUAAUAUACCAGAUACUAAUGGCGCACCACUGGUGCGCCAUUAGUAAAAAAUACUAGUGGCGUGAUACUAAUGGCGCACCAGUGAUGCGUCAUUAGUAGGCAAAACUGGUGCGCCAUUAGUAGCCCUUUUCCUAGUAGUGAUACCUGGGUUGAGUGCCAUUGGUGGCUGCGGCAACGACUGGCCAUGGCAAUAACUGAAGAUGUGUGGGUUUCGUCGCAGCUCAGUGCUGAUCAGCAACUUGCUUGCUGUUCGUGAACAUGUUGGUUGCCAGUAUUUUAUCAACAUCAUGAACUCAACCAACUUGGCCAUCAGGGGGGUAGCAAUACUAAUUCUUUUUGGUGAGAUACAGAUGAGUUGUUUACAGUCGGGGCCAAAUUCAGCAUCAUCAUUUCCAACAGAUAUGGCCACUAGAAAAGUAGUUCGUAUUGAUGGCAUAUUUUCAAUCUGCGUCAUAUCGUCUAGCAGAAUUCCCCCCUGCAGCUGCGCUCGCGUUGUCUUUAGUAUCUCUUGAUAAUUACACCGGAGUUGUAACAUCGAUCAAUCAUGCAACCAUUUGCAUAUAAAGGCUGAGAUGUACCUUCAAGUCCAUGUAAGAAGUGUUCUUCUCUGGUCACUGCUUGUACAUUAUGAGGAAAGCAACACAGUAGAACAGACCUAACAUCUUACACGUCAGUAAACCUAUAACUAAGAUAUUGGCAUUGGGCUGUUCUCUGUAAGCUUGUUUUGAUUACAUAUAUGCAUAAUUCACCCCUAGGUUCAGAAAAAAAAAUCAUUGACAUGACUUCUACGUAUGGUUGAAAAUGUCUUUAAAAUAUUGCAGAGACUUUUGCCAAAACUGUUGCACAAACUUUUUGGCCAGCAACUAUUUUGAAAAUUUACAUGUAAAGUAUCCAUCCUAUUUUCUUCAUAUCUUUCCUGUUGUUUCUUCCUAAUAUCAACACCUCAGCAGAAGAUGUCGUGCAUCGUGCAAUCUGGCAACACCAUGAAGGCCACCAUCAGGGCGAAAGAUGCGAACACACACAGUAGGUCUUAACUCCAGACCUAUUUGUUAUUUAUUCAUAGAGCCCAUAAUUACUAUCUUAUUUUAUAAGUCUGUUUCAAGAGGAUGUGCAACAUCCUUUUUUUAUUUUAAAUGUUUAACUUCACUUCUCAUGUGGGUUUGGUGCUUACAUUAUGUUUAAUCAAGCCAGUUUCACCUGAAUUUAUCAUACACCAUAGAACUAAUUAUUAGAGUACAGUUCCUGAUGCUUACUUCAUGCAACUGAAAAAAACACUUCCUUAAGAUCCAUCCAUAUCGAUGCUCCUUUCUGCAAUGUUUGGUUUUGUUCUCUUCAACAUUUAUUUGUUUCAACACAAUGUCGAUCGCUGACACAACUUAGCAAUAAUUACGUGACAAUAAAAAUUGGGAUUAGAGCAAUGGUCAUUGAUGUCCUUUCCUGUCAUGUUGGUUCCAUGUGUUUGUUACAUUUAUUUAAUUAGAAUUCUACAUGCUCUUUUGCUAUGUCGUGGAAAUACAAGCUCUGUGGUGGCAGAAGUUAGUUGCUAUGGGAUGUGGUGAAGUUUCGGCUCCUCUGGAAGGUAUCAUGUUGUUUCCAGUGAGGUGCAUAUGUAGACAGUACUGAGUUUUGACAACUAAUGGCUUUUUAGAAUUAUUCAUAUGGUAGGAACUUUGAGCUUCCAGUUCUGAGAGGCAUUUAUUUUGAAAAUAUUAAAUAUGGUAAAAUGCAAGCUCUAAUGAUGAAGCUCGACACAGAGAAAGCUUUUGGCACUGUCCUGGGAGUUCCUGCUGAUGGUGCUCGAGGAGACGGGUAUUGGUAUUGGUUGGAGAAACUGGAUAUCUGCACUGUUCAACACUCACGUUUUCUUCAACCAAGAUACUGUUGAACGCAGAGCUUUCCUAUUCCAUCUCUCUUGCGAGAGGUCUGAGGCAGGGCGACCCCCAGGUGGCCGCUGCUGUUUGUCAUCGUCAUGGACUGCAUGGCUGGGAUUUUUGACAAGGCGGUGCAUGCAAGGUUGCUGGGCCCUAUUCCAAGUAUGUGAUUGCCUUUCAGAGUCUCACUGGAUGCCGACGAUGCAGUGCUUUUCAUCAACCCCUUGCCCCAGGACGCUUGUACUAUCAAGUCAUUGCUUUCAGAUUUUUUGGGCAGGCCACGUCUACAUGCAAACUUCCACAAAAGUGGAUCACCCCUAUAUGCUGCCAGGAAAUCGAUGUCCAACCUGUCCUGCAUGGUUUUGACUGCUCGGUAAAACCCUUCCCGUGCACUUAUUUAAGGAUGCCUCUCUCGAGAAGUGCAUGGAGGAACCCGGGUACAUAUGAACCCACUUUGGAAUAUACAUUUGCAAUGUCAAAAAAUUCUGAAAAAAGGUGCGUGCGGACAUCUCCAUAUUCUAUGUGUGUGCAGAAAGUUUUUGUAGCAUGUGCAAAAAAGACAAUUUUUUGUGCCGUGAAAUGCUAUUUAGAAGCAGUAAAAUUUGUUUUUUUACCAAGACAAAACAAAAAUACAUUUUUACACAAAACUUUGUGUCGUGGACAUACCUUUGCCAACAUGUAUGCAUAAUCUUUUUUAGAAUUUUUGAACAUUACAAAAUGCGUAAAAAGUACAUUUUUGAAAAGCGGGUGCAGAUGCCCCGUGUGCAGAUCGUCCACUCUCUGCCUCUCUCUGUCUGACCACAAGCUGAAGAAGGUGGACUAUCAAACAAUCAUUACGCCAUAAUGAAGAAUGUCAAUGGCUAGAUCCAUGCACACUUCUCCAUCGAUGGCCGCCUAAUCUUGGCGAAGCAUGUGCUCUCGGCAAUGUCAGUGUUCCAGAUGAUCUCGAUUGACAUGCCAGUAUGGCUGGCGAAAGCUAUUGACAAGGUAUGAGUAUCCAGAUGAGCGGUAAAUGCUUUGGGAGCUGGAAGGGCUUCUGAAGCCCCAAGAAUUUUUGCGGUCUUGGCAUAUCUAACAUGUUGGCCCAGAGCAUUGCCCUUCGUACAAGGUGGUUGUGGGAAGCUUGGACUGAGCCGGAUAAGCCAUGGUUAGGGAUGCACCUUCCUGUGGACCCCAAGGCCAGAGCCAUAUUCAACGCAACUGUCAUCUUCAGGUUGGGGGAAGGGUCAAGGAUCAGUUUCUGGCACGAACCACGGCAUCACGGGGUCGCCCUUGAACAUGCUUUCCUGAUCCUGUCUUCCAUCUGCACACGGAGAAGACUCACGGUCCCCGUGGCGCUUAGGGACAGUGCUUGGAUCAGACACCUGAAGCAGCAAUCCUGUCCAAGAGCACUUCGGGAAUUCUGUGAUCUCUGGAUCACCAUGCAUGAGGUUAACCUGACAGAGCUUCCAGCAGCCGCCGACCUUUCUUGUCAGUUGUGACAAUGGCGUGUAUUCCACUAACUCGGCUUAUAAAAUUCAGUUCGAGGGCUUCCAAAGAUUCAUUCUCAAUGCCCUCAUAUGGGAGUCUGUUGCCAUGCUCAGAUGCAAGGUCUUCUCUUGGCUGGUGAUUCCUGGGCGCCGAUUCACUGCCGACAACUUGGCAAAGCGGAGCUGGCCGCACAAACUCACAUGCACGCUCUGCUCCUGCCCUGUAGAAGGCAUUUAUAUUUACUUAAUUUAGUCUUCAAUUUGUUUCGCUUCAUUGCAAGAAAUUUCUGAUGCAAAAAUGGAUUUCAUCCUACAUUUUCCUCAGCAGCCGCCGACCUUUCUUGUCAGUUGUGACAAUCGAAGAGUGCAUUAGAGAAGCCCCCAGAACUGCUACUAUUGCAAUUAAUACAUUGUGAGUAGUUAGAUACAUAGCCCAAUAAAAAUGGAAGACCUACAUAUGGCCAUGUACGUACCUAUGAAGCCCUAGGCCAUAUUGGACGAGGGUACAGAGCAUGGAUGAUUCCUAUCUUCUACUCAUGCCGAUCGCCGCGCGUCGCGGCCGCCGUCUCGCCUGCCAGGAAGGAAACAACCGCCUGAAUUGAUCGAUCUCUGGUUCUUUGCAGUCUGAAACCUGAAGGUACGACAUAUACACGAUCUGAAUCCUAAAAGCAUCAAUCUCUGUGGCCCUUAAAAGAUGAUGGCUUCCGUGCUGGAUUUCAUAGGUACUGACUGGAUUGCUGGCGCUAUUGAAGCAAUGCACUGUGGCCCCGCCGCGGCAUCUAGGCAUCAGACCGUUGUUUGUUAAUUAUGUCUACGCAUCUUGACCUAAUCAAGGUACAACAAUAUACAAGCUCCACUCUUAUGAAUUAAGAUUGAUUACAGUAUUUAUAUUUUUACUGAUGACCUAUACAAUUUACUUACAUAGAAGGCAAAGAUCAUAUAUUUAUCAAAUGAUGUAAGACUAUUAACUACUUAUUCCUUUUUGUCGAUGAUUUUCACUGCAAUAACAAACAGAUCAUGAGCCUUAUCAUGUUAUAUUCGUUUUUAUUCUACUUUCUUUAAAAGAAAACGUGUACUCAACGGGCUGUGCCUUCUAUUAGAAUAAUCUAUCAUGUCCCCUUCGNNNNNNNNNNNNNNNNNNNNNNNNNNNNNNNNNNNNNNNNNNNNNNNNNNNNNNNNNNNNNNNNNNNNNNNNNNNNNNNNNNNNNNNNNNNNNNNNNNNNNNNNNNNNNNNNNNNNNNNNNNNNNNNNNNNNNNNNNNNNNNNNNNNNNNNNNNNNNNNNNNNNNNNNNNNNNNNNNNNNNNNNNNNNNNNNNNNNNNNNNNNNNNNNNNNNNNNNNNNNNNNNNNNNNNNNNNNNNNNNNNNNNNNNNNNNNNNNNNNNNNNNNNNNNNNNNNNNNNNNNNNNNNNNNNNNNNNNNNNNNNNNNNNNNNNNNNNNNNNNNNNNNNNNNNNNNNNNNNNNNNNNNNNNNNNNNNNNNNNNNNNNNNNNNNNNNNNNNNNNNCCCAUGUCCAAAUCCUGGCUCCGCCCCUGCACAUCUUUGGAAUGAUGUAUAUUUUCUAGCACAUCUUUGAAUAUAAUUAAUUCCUUCCUGCCUAUAAUAGAGUGGUGUUCAAAUCUAGCCAUCAUUCUCUUGGUCCACGAAGAACAGAGUGCAUGUCCUAGUGCAAGACAGGAUGUAGGUGUAUGUUUUGAUGUACGAAAACAAUGAAGAAAAGAAUGAAGAUGUGGAUGUUUUUUUGGGUCUUUCCAGAUUAUUGGUUGAUGUAAAUAUUCAGUUUGUAUUCUGCUGGAUUGUCUCCAAAUGUUGCAAUUUUUUAUGGGCAAUAGGCAAAGAACAUCUUAUGUCUAGCAUGUACAUUCUCGCCGAGUACAUUAACCGUUGUACUAGUAUGUUGUUUGUUUAGACGUAUGCAUUUUGUUGGCGUGAUCCAACAUUCCUAGAAAAAGGGUAAGUACAGUUUCUUGUCAUGCUAGAUGCUUGUUAUUUGGUUUUAAUCACGAACUUUAGUUUUCUUGUUGUGCUAGAUGCUGAAUUUUUUAGUAUGCUAAUGCUAACUUUGCAUAUCUUUGAAGAACUACAGUUUCUAGUAUGCUAAUGCUAACUUUGCAUAUCUUUUUUCACCUGCUUGCAAGGCCGCCUCACUCUUGUCAAGCAUACCACUGUCUUGGGGGAAGACUGCAACCCAGAUAAAUGCACAUAUAUCAGAUUAGAUCCAAGAGCGGUAAAUGAGCUUUUCAAUAUGGUCAUUGGUUGACGAAGAGUUAGCUUUUCAAUAUGGUCAUUGGUUGACAAAGAGCGUUCAUUGGCUCAACGUGUUGGCUGCCACCGCCUCGGUGAGAAUUUCGAGUAGGCGGUUGAUGAUGUUAAAUCUCUCCUAGCCUGCUGCACAACUUCCUUCCAGAUGCCCCUCACAUCACUCCAGAUCCAGAUCAAGGCCUUGAUCAACCUGGCUGUCAAUGCCACUGUUGGCAAGAAGGGCACGGUAAGGGGCUAAAGCCAUGUUGCCUCACUCAUCCUUGCGGGGGACUUUAAUCUGAUAGCCCAAAUGGCAGAUAAAAGCAACUCCAAAGUUCACCGGGUAGUGAUGAAUGCUUUCAGAGUUGAAGGAUAUGUACCUACAUGAAGAAGUCAAGGAGGUAUAUGUGGAGCAACAGACCACCCUAGUGAAGCUUCACCCAGUCUUUAUAUGAGCAAUGGAGUAGCUCCUUCCCUAAUUCGCUUCUGCAAGAUGUCUCCUUCCUCGGCGUCAGAUCACUGCCCUCUAUUUCUAUCAGCUGACAGUGCUUUCAAGCCAUGCCGGUGCUUUCGGUUUGAGAAAUGCUGGCUUAAAUGGGGUAGCUUCAUGGAGGUUGUUUUCAAGGUCCCUAUGUCAGAUAUAACGCAAAGCUGGCGUCAACUGCUUAUGCCUUGAAGAGAUGGAGCGCCCUUCGGUCUUCUAACAUCAAACUUCGGUCACCCAUCGUCAACGAAUUAAUCUUCCAAUUAGAUAUUGUGAUGGACAGCAGGGCCCUAUCUCUGGAGGAAUUCACUUUUUACAAACAUCUGAAAAUUUAGAGCCUUGGUCUAGUUGCGGUUGAAAAAUGCACGUGGCGCCAACGUUCGCGUUUAUGUGGCUCAAAGAAGGUGAUUGCAACUCAAAGUUCUUUCACUUGAAAGCUUCUUCACGUCGGAAGAAGAACUUCAUAUCAGCUUGCAAAUCGAUGAUAGAACUCUGACUUGACAAGAGGACAGGAUGCAGGCAUUUUGCCAGCACUUCAGUGGCAUUAUGGGAACGUGCCAAAACAGACAGCACACUCUGAACCACAACUCUCUUCAAUUCCCUGGCAUCACAAUUCAGCACAUCGAUGCGGAGAUCACCUAGGAGGAAGUAAAAGUGGCGUUUGUUCGAGUUACACCCUGAGAAAGCAUUCAGCCCCAAUGGAUUUUCUGGCCUUUUCUUCAGGACAUGCUGGAAUUAUCAAUGGCGGUCUGAUGCUUGCGGUCAGAAAAGUUGCUUCAUGUGUCAGCCUGGUGCAGCAAGAUGGUAGAUGCAGCAAGAUGCAAUGUGGCGUCACUUCAAGAAGAGAGAAAAGAGCUUGUGGUUUCUGUCGGACAAGCCCUUCAGCGGUGUUACCCUCUGCUCCACGGCGAGUUCCAGGCCAGGUUUAAUUAUGUUGAAAUGCUUGCACAGUAUUCUCACAUUAUAUGGCAAACUAGGGUCAUCAGGUAGUUUCCUAAUUGCACAUCUACAAAUGUUAAGAGUGUACAAGUGAUUCUAUUUUUUCGUUCCACACAUGCCCAGCUUGGUGUUAUGGGAAGAGCAAGAGCGGUCUUCAAUUGGCACAGUGGAUCUACUAUGUAUGCUUUUCGGUUCGCUCUAGAUAAGCCAGCUAUUAGUCCACGCUAGCGUAUUUCCAUAUGAUCUUACAUUCGUACUCUUAUCAUCAUAACAUUCACAAACAAAUAUGAUAUAGGUAUCUUGUGUCAUUCUAUCAAAUAAUCUCUCCAUUCAGAAAUAUAAGAUGUUUCGGAUAUUUCAAUAUUUACUACAUACAGACUGAAAUGAGUGGACAAACACAUUAAGAUGUGUCAAUAUACAUCUGAUUCACAAAAAUAUUAGAACAUAUUAUAUUUGUGAACGGAAGGAGUACUAUAUCUAUACCAGUAUGCUAAGAUUUUUUUUGUCAAGUCAUUGGUGUUAGUACUUUGGUUCGAUCUUAUUUCUCCACCCCGCCUGAAUCUCAAAAGGGAGUUUUGGUAUUGAUGGAAAUUUGGCUCCUUUCUCGACCCAUAUUUGCCAAUCCCUCCCCAUCGCUACAUACACAUGCCACCUUGCUCGAUUGUCCUCACUUCCUAGACAUCACCCGUCUUGUGGUCGUGUUGCAGCCAUGGCCGAAGCAGAUACAAAAAUUAGUGAGAUCAAUGCAUGCAAGCACUCAAUUAGUGAGCUCAAUGUGACCGGUCCAGGAAGACUUGGGACUUCCUUCUAUAGUGUGACUACCAGUUCAAGUAGAUACAGAAAUUAAUACCAAACACAAACCCAUCCCCGCCCUUAAUCACAACAUGCGGCAAGCAUGCCGACAGUGUCAUGGCAUCUGCUGUGGUGGAGGCCACAACUCGUUGUCCCUCCCCUCUCCCCCUCCCUUGCCCCAUGCCAGCGACCACAGAUCUAGACUAUGUCGUGUCCUUCUCGUACUUAUCGCCUGCCUCCUUCCAGACGGACUCUGACGACGAGGCCUAGGGUGGUGGACGAGAAGCUUAAGCUAGCGUAAACUUAUUUUUUAUAGUUAAACUAGUGUUGUUUUUAGUAUUAGUAUUUUUUACAAUACCUUUUUAUAAGCUAUGUUAGAUUAAUUAGCUCAAAUACUGAUAGAAUGUGAUGUUUGAGCUAUGUUAGAUUAGCUCAAAUUAUGGUAGAUUUUUUUUAUUUGAGCUAUGUUAGAUUAGCUCAAAUUAUAGUAGGCCAAAUUAAGAAGCUGGGGGACUUAUGUUAAUGCAAUAGUGAGGUUAUUAUGAAUUUUAUGAUAAUAACAAUCAGAUGGAAUUUCCAUAUGGGUGCACAACUUGGAAAAUUGCAAUUCAAAAUGUAAUUUUAGGGAUUGAUUAGGAACCAACCUCCCAAUACCCAAUCAAGUCUUUGGUUGACCUUUUGGGUUUAGGUUUGGGGUUUGAUUAGAGAUGCUCUUAGUUGUCACCCAUGUAGAUUAUGAAGACAAAAACAUCAAAAAUAGAAUUUUAAUUAACUAUAACAUACAUGUACUGGACGUUGAACACCUAUUUGAAUAAAUAUAGUGGCCACUAAGCCAUCACACCUUUUGUAUGCGCAUCUCUAGUCACACCUAAACCUCUCCUUGCAGCCUAUGUGUACUAUGUUUACAACAUAUCCUUGCCCAAUUAGUGAAAUCCAAUGUCCUGACAAACACAUGUGCCAUCAUCCAUGAGCACGAAUCAACCACGCGAAACGGAACUGGUAAGUCAUCUUGCCAUCCUCCACAAGCAAGAAGCAACCAUGCAAAACGGAACUGCUAAUUCAUCGCUACCUUGAGAUGCCACUUGCGCUGCUCCUCCACCAAGCAUCUCCAGGAAGUGUGGCAUCGGUGUAGCAUAUCAAUACAUAAUUUAUCCCCUUUGUUGUUCAAUACAAUUGCCACAUAAGUUGGCUAUCAUGAUUGUGAUCCAUCUGAUAUAUUCUUUGUGGUGAUGUUAAUCAUGUGAUGAAUUAUUCUUUUAUGUUCAGAUUGUGUUAAUUGUCUCUAAGAAUAAAGGGAUGAUAAAUUAAGGAUAAAGGGAUAAUAAACUUUUUUGUCUCCAUGACCAGCCGGAGGCUCAUGGGCUAUGUCUCCCUUUUGUUACUUAAUAGUGAAGGAUCUUGGUCAAAGAGUGAAGUAUUAGCCAUAGAUGCAAAGAGGGUCUCGGUCUAUGGAUAUAUGGACGUAUUGCCUAUAUAACAUCAACACAUCACAUAAAAUUUAGCAUGAACACGAAUAUUUUGUUUUUCACAUAUCAAUGUUAUCUUGCCACACUUAUUAUCUAUUGGAGAGCUACUAUUCCUGAACCAAUGAACCCCAGUCCAAUUCACACUUUAAGGAACUUUUAUUUGUACUUUUAUUUCUAGUUAUUAUUUACUGGCCAUCCACCCAUGCACCUACAUGGGCUAGCCAUUUAAAUUACGUACAUAAUAAUUAAAAUGUCAAAAAAAAUAUUCAAUGCAUCAAUGAUAGAAGAGCCAUUUAGCACAAAAAGAACUAUCAUACUUCUCUGAAAGGCUCAGUUCCAGAUCCUUUCACUGGCACUCUUCGAAAGUACAAACGCCUAUUAUGUAUUAUCUUAAGGAGCCUAUAGUCCAAUGAAAUGUCUGAAGUAAAAAAUAAGUAAAUAUAUUUGACCAAAGGAAUGUGUAAAUCAAUAGUAACAUUCCCUACAGCGCUUCAGAGAAAGAUUAACAUUUUUGUAAAAACCUCAAUAGCCUGAAAGAUACUUAGACAAUAAGCAAUCACAAAACUGGCCACAUUAAUUCUAUACCAUGGACGAUGCGAACAACAAUAGUGAUAAAUAUACAUGGUUCAGUAAUCAAAAUCAUAUUGAUUCCAGUCAUGAAUUGAGCUAACCUUGGCAAAGAGGGGAUGCAUACAGCUCAUUAGGCAAGGAAAACUAUAAAAACCGCAUAGUGCUGUAAAAAUUGUAGGAUGGAUAAUAUUGUGUUGUAUCUAUUGUAUUUAUCUGACCCUCAUAUGGGGUAUAUAUAAAGUACACGAGGGGGUAGAGUCUUGAAGUACAAGACAAGUUACAUGUGGUUUAAACCAAUCCUAUCUCUAACUCCUAAUCUCUAACUUAAACAUAAUUAUACUUCUAACAUUCCCCCUCAGUCGUAGCGGGAGUGAAGCGGACGAUGACGACUGAAUUUGAACUCUUGUGCUUUCGUCGUCUUCUCCGCCGCGCCAUCAUCAACUGCGUCUCUGAUGGGUCGGCACCUAGGGCGGUGACUGCGUCCCCUUCUGGUGCCUUCCUGCCUUCUCCUCUAUUCCCUCCCGCAGUCACACCGGGAGUGUCGUGGACGCAAGUGACGAGGCGGACGCUGUUGACUGGAGUUGUUGCCGAUGAGUUGUUGUAGACGUAGCCUUUAAUGUCGAGGUAGCCGAUCAUGGUGAUGUAGCCGUGGUCGAGGUAGUCGUGGUCGAUGGUGUGGUCGUCGUGGAUGAUGAAGCCGCACAAAGCCGGAGGCGCAAAAAAAAUGCGCUAUGACGGAGCUGCAGACGUGGACGAUGCACCUUGCUGAUGUCAGAGGGUGCCGUCGGCGAUGAGUCCACCGAUUUUGCCAAGACCGGAGGAAGCCCAUCGAGCACACAUCGGUUUUGACAGAACCGUGUGGCCGUGAAGGGGUCGUCACUAUAGUGACGCCGUGUCGAUGCAGUCGUGCCAUCGUGGAUGACGCGGUCAAUGCCGUCGUCGUGACGCGGUCAUUGCCAUCGUCGUGGUCGCGUCUUGCAGAAAAGUCUGUCAGGGGACGCUAGGUGUCCAUCUUGUGGACAAGGCGGCGACGGUGUGUUGGUGAAGACCACGUUGGUGAAGACCAUGGCGAUGAAGUGUCGGCUAUGGCGUCGCAGCGGCGUGUCGACGAAGUGUCGAUGCCGAAGAAGUAUGUUGGCUCGUAGCUUGGCGUAGUCGUACAGCUUGAUGUCAUUCGGCUUGAUGCAGAGGCGUCGGUGUAGCCGUGCAGUACAGAUCGGCGAUGGCGGUCGAUGCAGCGAUGCAGAGGAUGAUGUAGCUCGGCUCGGUGAAAGAGUGGAUCGUCCUCGGUGCGGGUGCAGGUCGGCGGCUCGGUGUAGAUGAGGCAGGUCGUGCGCGUCGUUGCUCAUGUCCCGCGAGGGCUGGAGUCGAGCAGACCUGUUAUGUAUCGCUGAAGCUCUAGGAUGUGGCUCUGGAGAUCAUGGUCACAUAUGGACAUGUGGAACGUGGUUACGUGACCCACGAUCUGGUUGAAGCUAGUGGUGGAGUCCACGCCCGUUGCGUGGCCUGCGCUUGCUGGAGUUGACGAAGUCGAUGCCCACCAGAUUGAACGGGAAUUGGUUGCUUGGUCUUCUACGCCCACGAUUGAAGUCGUCCGCCCACAUCGGAGUUCCGCGGCCGCGAAAGAGAUCCGUGCGGGAGCUAUGCCCUCCCGUGAUCGGACGUCCGUGUGCCCUUCGCUGCUGCUCGCCGGCGUCACAUCUCCGCCUGAUGGAAGGGCAUCAGGACGCUGAUUGGUGUCGAGGGCAUCUGGACGCUGUUUGGUGGCGCCGCUCCACCGGCCUGCCUGGACUGCGCCUGCCGAGCGUUUUGCAUCGACCGGCUGCUCCAGCGCCCGGCCACGAAAGCGCCUGCUCCUGGACCACCAGCGCCCGGCUUGAACCUGUGGAUCACGGUCGGGCCGGUGUUGCGUCUGCUGGCUCGUUCAGAGGCGCCGGUCGUGGACGCACCGGCGGAGAUGCGCAGCGAAGACCCGCCAGGCGGAUGCUGCGUGUUGACGAAGCAGAUCAGACCUGUACGCCGGCAGUGCAGCACCACGCACUGGAUUUGGAGGAGAUUUUUGGAACCGAUCUCUCCACCAGUUUGCUGUGAUCUUUCAGGAGAUAAUAGGGCUUCAGAUUUAUUUGUGUCUAAAGAACUAACCUAACAGAAUUUGGAAAAUUGAGAAAUUGAUCUAAUCUAACUAAGGAACCGAUCUCAUCAUCUUUGAUCGAUCGGAUGCCGCGCCCCCGAGGAGAAGAGAUUAAUCUCCUCGGGGGCGGCGCGCUGCGGAAGUGGCGAGAAGUCCUAGGAUCGGCGUCGCGAGACUAACCGCUCUAAUACCAUGUAAAAAUUGUAGGAUGGAUAAUAUUGUGUUGUAUCUAUUGUAUUUAUCUGACCCUCAUAUGGGGUAUAUAUAAAGUACACGAGGGGGUAGAGUCUUGGAGUACAAGACAAGUUACAUGUGGUUUAAACCAAUCCUAUCUCUAACUCCUAAUCUCUAACUUAAACAUAAUUAUACUUCUAACAAGUGCAUACAGGGACCGACCAUGAGGAUAAAGUUGGAGAUAAUUUUUGCUGCAUCCAUGAGCUAGUACUAAAAUCCUUCUAUCAGUAACAAAACAUUAAUUCUGAUCUUCAUAACCAAUGGUUAACUGUUCAUAACAUGAUUUUUUUGAAACUUUUGAUGAAAUACCUCACAUCCUAUCAUCAUAACUUUCUCAUAUAGAUGUUGUUUACGUGUCGAUCAUCUUUGAUAUUUGUUCAAAGUGAAUAAUGUAAUACUACCUCUGUCUUGGUUUAUUGAUCCCCAUUAUAUUCGGUGUCAAACAUCCGACAUCGAUCAAGAGGAGGAGCGAUAGAAUGAGUGAAGUGUCUCUCCCUUCUUUUCUUCAUGCGGUGACUAGGGCCAGCGUCCGAGACGACGCCAAUCGCAGAUCAGAUCAGCAGACAGGCCAGCGGCACGUCCAGGAACGUUGGAACAGCAGCCUGCACAGGAAGACAGGGAAAGUUGCCCCGUCUCCGGUAACGGUGAUUGCAUGAGCCCUUGAUCUUGAAUUAUAUAUUGAUUCUUGAGUGUGAGUUGUUCCAACUUUGUUCCCUAAGAGCAACUCCAAUGCGGCGACCCAUUUCGUCUGCGGUCGUCCGUUUGGGUCGGUACAAACAAAAAAGCCGGCCCAACGCGCCGAUCCGAACAGACGCGCGUCCGCUUUCGUCCGCCUGUCAACCCAUUUCCGGCCCAUUUUUUAGCCUGAUUUGCAUCGGGGCGGACACAAAACGGACGCACGGGCGCUCGCCCUCUUUUCUCACCGGGCCCGCUGGUCAGUGGCACAUUGGAUUCACACACUCGCCCGCCUGCUACGCCGCCGGCCAUUUUUUCAGAUAAAAAUGGAUACAUAGAUAAUUCUAGCGUACACAGAUAAAAAGAAAAGACCACUACACGUCGAUUUCUGACUCCGGCGUAUGAAUGUAGGCGUCAGCAUACACCUCGUCUUCAAACUCCCAACCCGCCGUUUCUCGUAGCUUCAGUUUCAAUUGAGCUGCCUGCUUCCGCGAACACUUGUCCUCCCGAUAGGCGGCUCGCUCCCUCCUCCUCGCGUCCCUCUCCAACCUCCUUUGCUUGUAGAACUGGCGCUCGUCGAUGAUGUCCUGCGGAAAGCCUCCGCGCCACACCACCAAGGCUUCCACGUCCUUCUCCGCGAUGGCGAGGCGGCGCUGCCGCCUCCGGUGGACAGAACGAUCCUCGUCGGUGAAAAGUCGCGGGAGAGGCGCCAGAUCCUGCGCCCGCUGGCUCGACACGUUGGGAAAAUUCAUAUCCCGACGAGGCCUCAGGAGGCGCCACGCCGCCGCGUCGUGCGCGCGGGGCCGCCUCCUCUGUGCUGUAGAAGGUGCCGAGGAUGAGACGUUUCUCGUGAAACCAGAUCUCGGAGGAGAAAGCGCCGGAGCGGCGCUCGCGGACUCCGCGAAAAUCCGAAGCGCCCAGGCGGCGGAUCGACAUGGUGGCGCAGAGGCGGCGAGAGUGGGCGGCGAGCAGAGGCGGCGAGAGUGGGCGGCGGAUAGAGUGUGGAGGGACCGCCUUCUUUAUAACGAGCGCCGGCCGCGGCGCGCGCGCAAACCUUUCCCGCGCGCUGGAGCGCCAAAACUAGCGCGCGCUAGGCCGCUUUCCCCUGCGCGCUGGUGCGCCAAAACCAGGGCGCCGGCAUGAUCUAAAACGCGCGCGGUCAUGAAAUGGGUCGACCCGUUGGGCGCACUGCCGACCCAAAACUAAAAGAGGGCGGACGGCGGGCGGGCGGCCGACCUAAACGGACAAAAAGCGGACAAAAACACCGUCCGUUUGGGUGAGCAACUCCAACACGCGGACCCAUUUCGUUUGCGCGCGUCCGUUUGGGUCGGCGCAGACAAAAAACCCGGUCCAACGCGCCGAUCCAAACGGACGCGCGUCCGCUUUUCGUCCACCUGUCGACCCAUUCCCGGCCUAUUCUUUAGCCUCAUUUGCAUCGGCGCGGACAUGAGAUGGACGCGCGCUUCGCCCGCCUACUUCUCCCCUGGCCCGCCAGUCGGUGGCACAUUGGCCAUCCUCUCCCACAGCAAACCCUCGCCCGCCUCCUUCAUCGUCGACGUCGCCGCCCAUUUUUCCGGUACCUCCGCCGCAACAUCCACCCGGCGACGCCGCCACCUCCCACGUCACCGCCACCGCCGUCUUGCCGCCAGGGAUCCGACAGCUUCCACCCCCACUCCCCCGACACAACCGCGACCAAGAAGCCGCCUCGCCGCACCGGUCAGCUCCUUCGUCCUGACACCGGCACGCCCGGCGGACGCCGCCAAGGCAAGUUGUUGGUCCGAGGGCAGCGCGACUCCCUUCGUCGGCCGGCUCCUUCAUUGACGCCCGCAAGCUGUUCGACAGUUUGCCAAGAUACAAAAUGAACUCCGCCGACGAAUUCCUUUUCCACAAUUUCCUUUGCAACUCCGACAAUUCCUCGUCCGAUGAUGAGGAGGAGAUCUUGGCUGCCAUGUUGGUCCAUCACCACCUCAAUAGCCAGCGACCGUUGUUCCGUGGCUCCAUUCUGGUGCACCUUCUGGCGUUGAAUCACAACCGAGAGAGCGGGCAUUUCCUUCUUUGAAAGGACUAAUUUGACAUAACGAACAUGCUGUUCAAACAUCAGAAAUUCUGCCGCCUUUUCCGUAUGAGUAGACAUCUUUUCAACCGUAUUAGAGAGGGGGUGGUCAGCUACGGUGACUAUUUCGAGUGCAAAGAGGAUGCCCUUGUAAUGAUUGGCUUCUCCUCUUACCAAAAAUGCACUGCAACCAUCCGAAUGCUUGCAUACGGAGUGCCCGGUGAUCUUGUUGACGAGUACGUCUGUAUGACCUAGUCUGCAUCCCUAGACUCAUUGUACAAGUUCUCCAGAGUUGUUAUUGCUGUGUUUGGCCCUGAGUACUUGAGAGAGCCGACUCCUGAAGAUACAGCCCCUUGUUGGCGAUGAAUGCCAGUAGGGGCUUCCCGGGGAUGCUUGGCAUGAUAGACAUCAUGCACUGUGAGUGGAAGAACUUCCCUUAUGCUUGGCAAGGACAGUAUAAGGGCCAUGUCAGGGCUUGCACUAUCAUACUUGAGGCCGUGGCAUCUCAAGAUCUCUGGAUCUGGCACUCUUUCUUUGGCAUGGCCGGAUCACACAAUGAUAUCAACGUGCUUCAGCGCUCGCCGGUGUUUGCUAGGCUUGCUGAAGGCAACAACCCAUCGGUUAAUUUUACCAUCAACGGCCACAACUACGACAAAGGAUACUACUCAGGUGACGGUAUAUAUCCUCAAUGGACCACUAUUGUGAAGACAAUCCCCAACCCUGUCGCAGAGAAGAGGAAAAAAUUUGGCCAAGAGGAAGAGAGUGCAAGGAAGGACAUCGAGCGUGCCUUUGGUGCUUUACAAUCUCGAUAGGGCAUCGUUCGGUAUCCUGCUAAGACUUGGAGCACGAAGAAACUAUGGGAGGUGAUGACUGCUUGUGUGAUCAUGCACAAUAUGAUCGUAGAAGAUGAGUGCCCAGAACGUCUCUACGAUCAAGGGUUUCAGUUUUAGGGUGAAAAUGUUGUGCCUGAGCAUGGAGACGCGGCAACGUUUGAACAGUUCACCCAAUUUCAUCAUGACAUGGGUGAUUGAGAAACUCACAUGCAAUUGCAAAAUGAUUUGGUUGAGCAUAUGUGGGCUCAUGUUGGCAACCAAUAGAUGUAUCUUUUUUAUUCGGCUUGCAAAACUAUGUAAGACUUUUUUACUUUUAUUCGGCUUGUAAACCUAUGCUAUUUAUUUGGUUGAAACUAUGCUAUUUACUAUAUGUUUGCUUGUGAAAUAAUGCAAAUUUGUUGAAAAGGGCGGCCAUCCGGCCACGUCGUAUAUGGGUAGGCGCUUUGGGCGCACUGCCGACCCAAAUCUCAAACUGGGUGGACGCCGAGCGGGCGGCCGACCCAAACGGAAAAAAGUGGACAAAAGCGUCGUCUGUUUGGGUCGGCGCGUUGGAGUUGCUCUAAUGCCCAUAUUGUCUUUCUAAAAUCUUGUACUGUAGCUAAUUUUAUUUUAUUUUAUCCAUUAGGCGUGUAGUAUUGCAAGAUCCGAGACAUGUCUUGGUUAAGAAAACAAGUGUUUGAUUGAUGAAACAAAAACUUGAGGUUUUGACUCAGUCUCAGUCUCAUAUACAAGUUUUCAGGUUGCCCUUAAAAAGGAUGGAGAAUCUGACAUUGAUGCCAACGAACUGUAUGUGGAAUUGAUGUUUCUUCAAAAUUCCGUUCCAAACGAAAAUAUUGGGCCCGUUGAAUUUGUAAAGUUCUUAAAGCAGCAUGAUUAUUUUCCGAUGCAAGUAUUGCAUAUAGAGUUCCGUUGACCAUCCCUAUAACUGUUGCAUCAACAGAACAAAGCUUUUCAAAAUCGAAGCUAUUGAGGUCUUAUAUGUGCACUACCAUGACACAACAAAGACUUACUGAUUUGGCCAAAAUAACACUUGAGAGUGAAGUACCGGAGAAGAUUGAUUAUGAGGAUAUUAUUGAAAAUUUUAUAAAGAACCAUAAAAGAAUGAUGUUAUUUAAGUGAAGACUAUACAACCAAGAAUGGGUAUGAUUCUAGAUAUUUCACAUUGCCAUGUAAGAUAUGAUUAUCUUUAUAUUAUUAUAUAUUAUAUGUAUGUGGUUUAUCUAGUGAGGUAGGGCCCAUUUUAGGAUUUGACGCAGGGCCUCGGAUUUCAUCGGCCCAGCCCUAGAUGUGAGGCUAUGACCAACACCUGAUCUCAUGUGCACUAUGGCCGGAGAUGCCUUCUCACCAUCCUCACGCGUGGCACGUCAAUAGGAUACCACACCACACUUAGCGACAACGAUCUUAUUCUAGAGAAGGUUUGUCUUGAUUUCUCUUUUCUUUUCAAGGUCGAAUUUUAUUUUUCUUACCAUCCUCACCGACAUCAAUUUCUUCAACAGGUCUCCGAUCAAAUCGACUUUGUGCGGAUUCUCUUGGCAAUGGCUUCUAAGAAUAAGAGGUGGUCAUAGUAAUGUCUCCUAUUGUAAUGUCAUGGAAAAUCCGUACUUCUGUAUCCCUUUGUUGUGUAUACCGUAGUUAGGGCAGUAUAUUCAUGUGUAAACAUGGGCCUGGGGACCAUACUUGGGUGAUCGCAUUAGCAAGACAUGUCACCUCACAUAUCCAAAGAUGAACAUGUACUGAACAUGGAAAGACUACCGACUUUGAGAGAUCAUGAGAGACGCAUCUGAGAAGGACUCCAGCCUCUCUACUCCUAUAUAAGGAGACCAUGACCAAGGAGGGACAAGUUCUGUAGAAGCCACCACUGAAGGAAUAGAAACCUUAGCGUUUUAAUUAGCACAUCUAGCGUAGUUCAUCCACCCUAGAGCAAUGUUGUCUAGAUAUCCGCGUUAUCAAUGAGAGCAGGAGUGUCGCUAUUGCUCAUGCGAAGGGUCCGAACCUAUGUAAACCUUGUGCCACGUGUUCGUUUUAUGAUCUAAGUGGACAUCCCACUACCGAACAAAUCGUGUGGGACUAUCGUAUUACUGAGAAUACACGAAAAAUA
This 68456-nucleotide long non-coding RNA is filed under the name Triticum aestivum (bread wheat). Its description in RNAcentral is "long non-coding RNA (TAES_LNC026745)". The record is from RNAcentral. Lineage: Eukaryota; Viridiplantae; Streptophyta; Magnoliopsida; Poales; Poaceae.